GUUUGAACCAAUACUUGAGCUUUUCUUGUUGUCAUCAAUUUAUUAUAAUUGCGUGGGCCAGUUCAACUCUGAUUCCAGUUAGUACUUAAUUUAUGUUCAGAAUCUUCUGCUGUGUACUUAAUUCUGAUUCUGCAAAAUCUUCUGAGCAUCAUUUUGUUCUGUAAUUCUCUUCUGUUGAGUUUUGCACUUCAAGUUUGUUUCUUUUUUUUGCAUCUUGAUUUUUAUGAAUUGAGCACUUGUUUUCUUCAAAAUGUCUUCUUGUAUAAGUGGAGGUGGCCGGACUUAUGGCUUCGAUCUCGAUAUAGUUAAAUCGACGUCUACUUGUAGUAGAACUUCACAUUCGUCAUCUCCGUCUUCAACGCUCUCUGAAUCAAGCAAUUCUCCGAUUGCAAUCUCACAUCGAAAGCCUAGAACACCGCGAAAAAGACCAAACCAAACUUACAAUGAGGCAGCGGUGCUUCUUUCCACUGCAUACCCAAAAAUAUUUUCCACCAAGCACCUCACUAAGCCUUGCAAAUCUAGCAAAUUGUGCAAUACUUUUUUGGAUGAGCCUCCUGAGUUGCUUCUUCCAUUCCGAACCAUAGACAAUUCGGGGUUUUUACUCCAGCAGCCAAUACUAGAAAAGCCCAUUGUCGGCAUUGAGCCUAAAGUAGUCAAUUCUUGUGAAAGAAUUUGUCAGAGUCCCGCGGGGAGCGAUUUCUAUGGGAAUUCUACUGAAUUCUGUGAUGAGCAGCAGGGAGAUUUUGAUGCGGAGUCGAUACUCGAUGAAGAAAUGGAAGAAGGGAUUGACAGCAUCAUGGGGAAUCUAAGCGUGAACAACGAUAAUAUAGUCAAUGAAAUGACUAAUGACACUUGCAUUGGUUAUCCAUUGGGGCUGGGAUUUAGUGCAAAUUUUGAUUUUGGUUUCGGGAUGAGAAGGGGAGUGAGGGCCUUAAGAAAUGUCGAUGAAUCGAAUUGGUGGAGUUUUCCUACGGUUGAUGUUGUUGACAUUACGCCUAAAUUCAAGACCAUCACAUCUUCAGCUGCGCAAAAGAAGAAAAAGAAGGUCGAGAAAAUUGUGGAACUCAAGUCCUUAAAUUUUCCUAAAGAUAAUAAAAUUUCAGCAGUUGCUGCUGCGCCUGCUGCUGAAGAAGCUGCUACACUUCCAGAGCUGAGUGCCGGGCCACGACUGAAACUAAAUUACGACAAAGUAAUGGAGGCCUGGUCGGACCGGGGCUCGCCAUUUCCAGAUGAAAUAUCAGGGUCGGAGUCAUCAGGAAAUGAUAUUUAUGUACGUUUCUCUGCCACUCCCGUCAGGAAAUCUAGGUCCAAGAAGAAAGUUUAAAAACAAGUCUGUCAUAUGUUUUUUUAGUUUCUAGCAAUGCUUUUCACGCAGGGUAGGUGCGUUCCAAUCAAAUUUUAAUAAAUCCGCGUCUGUUUUUCAUGUCAAAUUUUCAUCGUGCAUCUUUUACGACUUUAAAACAAAAUACUUUAAAAAAAUGUCAUUUUCUGGUAAAAAAAGUUAUACCUCGGUCAAAAUAUUAACGAUGUUGUCGAGAAAAAAGAAAAAAUCUCAUGUCCGCGCACACAUUGGAAUUUUGAAAGAGGAGCAAUGAUUAACAUAUGCAUAAUGUGGUGUUAAUUUAGAGCAUAUGGGGUAAAUUAGUCUGAAAUGUUGUGUUUAUGGUUGGAACAGGCAAGGCUGGCUCAAAUAGACUUGUUCUCAGAGCUUGGAGGAGUGAGAGAAGCUAGUGUACAACGUUACAAGGAAAAAAGGCGCAACCGUCUCUUCUCCAAGAAAAUCAGGUACCAGGUCAGAAAACUCAACGCUGAUCGACGCCCAAGAAUGAAGGUACAUUCUAAUCUUAUUUUUCAUCUUCUCUUUCUUUUCUUACUACCAUACAGUAUGAUUUUUAAUACGUAUCCAGUUUGCCAGUAAUGUGUAUAAGACGGACUAAACCCGACCUCUUCUCAACUCAUGUUAUUGGAAAUCUAAAAAUUAGUUCAAAAAUAAUAUUAUUAUUUUACUGUCUGAUAAGAUUUUAAAACUUCAUUAUCCACGUCUAGUGUAAAAUCCUGAUUUCACCGCUGUUCAAACAUAUAUCAUCGAAUCACAACAAUCAAUUAUUGGGGACCAUACCACGAAUGGGAGUAUCCACCCAGCCCCCUGUUUUUGUAUAGACUGAUUUUGACUCUUCAUCUAUGGUUAAAAAAUCUGUGUCAUAUGUUAAUGCAUCUUAAAAAGUUGUUGAAUGUAUUCAUGUUUGAAAUGUUGCAGGGGAGGUUUGUUAGAAGGUCAAACUCAGACAUGGAUGAGGAAAGCUAAGUGUUGAAAAAAAGCAUUGGGUGCUUGAAUAUACUCACCAAACUGUGUCUCCAAAAUUUCAUCAUUUUUGUAGUAUUUGUUUUCUACAAUAAGUUUGCUGGCUGCAAUGUUAUCAGUAAUGAGGAAGGGAAUUGAGAAUAGUAUAGUUAAGAAGAGGAAUGUGGAUGAAAUCAAGUAGUUGUCCAUAUUGUAAAACAAAUUUUGUGCUUAUUACAUAAUACAUUUGUUUUUGUUUUUAAAUGAUUGUGGUUGUUGUUUAGUUUUUGGAAGAUGCUUUUGGUAGCUUGUUUGGGGAGACAUGCAUGUUAGUUGAUACACUUCUUCGCCUUGAGCAGGCUAGCCAAUAGGUUUUUAUUCAAGUACCUUGUCCAGGUUGAACCUAGAUAUUGUUUAAUUAUCAAAAAUAAAAUAUUAAUUACUUAAAUAAUAUAAAAAUAUGCAGUAUUAUAAAAAAUAUAACAACAAGACAAUAGAAAGUUUGGAGACCAACUAAAAGACCUACCAAAAAUUAAAUAUUAACUAAUUAAAUAAUAUAAAAAUAUGCAGUACUGAAAAUGCAAUAAUUGGACAAUGGGAAGUUUGGAGUCCAACGAAGAAACCUAGAUGUCGAUAAUACUAAAAAUAAAAUAACAAAUUAAGUUAAACGACUCUAAGUUAGUAUAUAUAGUUGUUACAACUAAUUUCUGAUCUCAAAAUUCUAUUCUUAUAUCAAAAUAUUACAAUUUAGUCGAUAAUUUUUCUUUUGGUUUUUUAUUUUAAAAUAUUAAGAGGAAGUUCAAGCUGUAAAUAAACGUAUAUUCGAUCGAUAUUCAAGUAGCGAAAAGAAAUAUUUUCACGGUCCGAAAAUGAUAAAAAUAGAUCAGUCAUAUAAUUAUCAGGCAGCAACAGGAUUUUAAAAACAAACCACCAAGAUGUAAAGGCCCAAACAUAUAUAUACAGACAGCCCAACUACUUUGAAUAAGCUUUUCAACGGUAUCUUCUCUUUUUUUCUGAACAACGAUCAAAGAAAAUAACUCGCGGGAAUCAAAAUUAUUCACUGCUUCUGAGAGUAAGAACGAGAUGAUUCUUUUUCUUUUUGUGGCGAAUUUAUCAUCAUAGCAUGCUUAUAUGAUAACUUGUGAUCUUGUCAAAUAUAUUGUUAUUACACAGUGCUGCACUCUGCUGAUAAAUAUAUAGCAUUCACAGCACGCUCCCCAACUGUUUGAUCAAAUUACUCAAAAAUGUAUUAAGCUGAUAAGACAUUAGGUGACAGUGUUUACGCUGAUAACGAUGAAACUCUAUAAUUUACCCUCCUAGCUGUUGGAUAUCUUAGUCCUAGUUCGAAUCACAAUGGAUUAACUAGGUAAGUUUGUUCAAUUUUAGUUUUCUUAGUACUUUAUGCCAGCCUUUAACAUGAUUACUACUAUGUCCUGUCCAAGGCAAAGUGCGUAUUAUUUAGGAUGUCGAUAUUCCAUGUAACCUGUUUUUGCUUUGAAGUUGGCACUUAGCAAUUAGUGAAACUGUAAAAGUGCCAUGGAAAACAUAUUUGCUCUAAAUUUUCUAGUCCUGCAAUGUAUUUGUUAAUAAGAAACUAGAUUUUGAGAUUGAAAGUGGUGAUACAAGAGAAAUUUAUAUUUAUUAGUGAAUAAAAAAUAAGCUAAUGUAUGGAAAUUAGUUUUAGCAUGUUUAUUAUUUAUAGAGAAAACUGGCCCUGUGGUCCCUCAGGGUAGUUUCCCGAGAUUAUAACUUUGCGCUGUAGAGUCCUGAAUGGCAUCUUACUAAAUAUAGAGUUCACCCUCGUGUUUGACCUGAAUAUCCAUUUAUUUAUAUUAAAAAGCUCCUAUCCUCAGGGCACCCAUCUGAGGUCACCCUCAGCCUCAUCAUGCUCUUAGUUAUAUGUUCUAUAUGCGGGGAUAGUACUCUAGCGAAUGUGCAGUAGUAUAUUUUUUAAUAAGUCCAAUUGUUUAUAGGUCUUAGCAGUGCUAUUGAAAGCGUUAUGCACACCGAGGUGCAAACUCCCCAGAGCCUAGGCGCAAAGCGCAAAGCGCAAAAGCGAGGUGCUCGCUUCUUUGGAGCUAGGCGCACAUUAUACAAUAGUUUUUAAUAAUAUUAUUUAGGACAUAUAUAAAUUUACAUUGGUUAAUAACAUGAUUUAUACUUCAUAUUAUAUUAAAUCACACUUUUUAAGGGCAAUAAUAACUUAAUUUAUACUUUAUAAUAUAUUAAAUCAUACUUUCAGAGGGACAAACAAUCCUAAAAUUAAACGUUAUACUGUAAUUAGUAAUCAACUUUCUAUAUAUUAAAAGAGAAUUAGGGGCAAAAAUAGCUAGAAAAAUGCUAGUGAAAUUACAUACAUGUCCUCAGUUAUUAUAGAAUUCUGACAUUACCCUGUGCUGUACAAUAAUAGUUCAGCCCAUAUCCGUUUAAUCGAUUUAGCUGGUGACUAGGGCAUAAUACAUAUAUAGUGAACCUGUGAUAGAAUCAGCCUUUUCACACAUGCCUCCGUCGUGCGUCAACGAUUGGGGUGAAAAAAUUCGACAGCAGUCUUUAGGCUUCGUUUGUUUAGGGAAAGGAAUUGGUUGUGACGAUGGUAAUUUUAUUGUGCCUGUUAUUUUUUUUUGGAUGCUUGAUGAUGAUUAGUGCUGCUUACUUUGUUUUGUUUGUUGUGUGUAAUCUGAAUUUGCUUCGAAUUUUGAUGCAUUUUGUUCAUUUCACUUUGGGGUAGUAGUUCUGAUGCUUUUUAUUAAUUUUGCUUGCGGUUUGUUUGCGCCUGCCAUCUCGACUAUAGUUAACAUUGUUUGUCUUCGUCAGCAAAGAAAUCUGAAGGUUGGGCUUUGCUCAAAUAAGUAGCGUGCAACAAAUAGAGAGUAGAGUAUUAAGUAUAAUUAAGACAUAUGUUUAAGAAAGAGUGGUAAAUGAUUAAGCAUCAGUCACUGAUGCAAGAAAUAGUGAUAUUAUACUGAAAUAUCGGAUUUUUAAUAUAGAUGACGAUCCAGUAAAAUUCCUAUUAUAAUUGGUGAGUGGUAGAAAAGGAGACAUAAUUCUGUAAUAAACCAUCAUGCAGUAAUAAGAAAAAGAAUUAGCCAAGGUACAUACUUCUUCUUUGUGCUAGUGAUCUGAAUUUUUUCAGCUUUUUGUAUAAUCACCUGCACACAAAACUCCAACUCGAGAUAAAAAAGACCAAUUGCAAAUGAACCAUUACUAAUAUAAAUGCAGGCUUCUUCUAAUAGUUAAUUUUUCAAGAUGUUUUUCUCUGAUAAUGGUAACUUUUGCUUCCCUCUGUACCUUAAUUUGAAUGUGGGGAUUUAGUAAUUAUGAUAUAAUUGUAUUGCGAGUGAUUUAAUUUUGUUCGUGAGUAGUACAUUUUCAAAUACAUUCAACUUUCUUAAAUGCCUGCUUUCCUCGGUGAAUUGGUUUAUAAUUACAUGAUUUGGUGGAUUAGCUGAGGUUCUGAAAGCAUAUUAGGUAUAAGUUUUUCAGUAGUUUGGUCGAGCAUUGAUCUGGCCACGGCACUCCCCGCAUGCUGAAUGGAUGUAACACCAAGAAAACGCGGCAGGCCAAGAGUGUUACUUCAUACAAUUUCACUCGAUCAACUUCGAUAGAAAACUCCACAAAUAUUAGUCAAUACACACUUACAUGAAUUCACGACCCCGUUACAUAGCCGCAGAUUCAGCUGAGAAGCCAUGGCCUCGAUUAACUUUAUACAACACGAACCAACAAAAAGAUCUGCAUGUCCUUCUAAUCGAGCACACAAUAGGGAUACACUAUAGUUCCCGUGCCUUGCACGGGCUUCUAUGCUAGUUUAAGUUUUAUAGGCUAAAUUCCAGGCUUCCAGCUUCCAACUGUAUUAGUGGUAAAAAUUUCAUCCAUCAUCUUCAUCAUCGAAGUCAUCUCCAUCCAAGUCCUCUGCAUCUUCAAAAUCCUCAUCUGAUUCGAACUCAAACUCUUGCUCCCUUCAUACUCAAACUCUUGUUCCUCUUCUUCUUCAUCCCCGUCUACUAAACGGCAAUGCCUCUUAUGUGUACUCUUUCUUGAACUUGAAGCAUCCGUGUUAUUUUGAACUUUUUUAGAUUUUGAGGCUGAUUUUAGCGUUGAUUUUGACACUGAUUUUGAUUGCAACCUGGAGUUAUAUGCAGGCUGUCCAGCACCAAAAGCCUUUUCAACUUUUGACCAAUUUAGUCCAUCAUCAUCAGGGAAGACCAGCUCAACAUCUUCAUCUGAUUCGCCGUCUAGGUUCCAAUCAACACUCACUGCUUUCAUCAACAUCAAGCAAUAAUAUGGGGUCAAUUUUAUCUCUGAGUUCAAAGCGUCGUCUUAAUGCUUUAUUGUAUAUGACAAUAAUUAUAUCAUUUAGGUUUUGUUGUUGGAGCCUGUUCUUCCAACAAUGUUUUGAUAUUUGGUAAUAUUUUUGAUAUUUGCAUAUUUUGAGGUAUAAUACAAAAAAACAAUGUUUCCGGUGAGGUUUGAUAUUGAAAUCGGUGACAACUUCCCGCAAAAGUUUAAAAGCAGCUUUUCCAAAAGCAGGGGAACCAACUUUUGAACAAAAAACCGAUGAUCAGAAAAGCUGCUUUUAUAUUUGCCAAACAGUUUUUUAUUUGUUUCUUAACAAAAAGCAGCAACAACAAUAACAAACGGGGCCUAGGUGGUUACAAAUAUAAGUAAAAAAUGGAGGGGAAAACGUAUGUUGUCGCAGACAUAUAUACAACUUAUAUGUAUUUAACACAACUUGUUUAGUUGUCGAGGGGCACUGCUCGCGCCUUCUUGUCUUCCUUGUCUAGAUGUGCUCAUAUUGUUUUGUAGUUAUUGGAAGAAGGAAAUUGACAUUGUGAUAUUAUUUCCUUCAGAUGGAAGCUUGUGAGACUGAAGAAAUAAUAUAUAUUGAUGAAUGCAUGAAGCUUGCACUAGAACAGGUAUCCAACUCAGAUCUCUCUGUCAAAUUUAAAAGAUAAAGGACGACUAUAGAACUUAAAAUUAUCCAACAAAAUCUUCUGUUUUUUUUUUCCCUAAUAUUUGUAGGUUCUAUCAUCAGCAUGCAAUGAGUUUUGUUUCACUUUGUGUCUAUCACAAUAGUUGUCCUGUAGACAAACUGUUUGGUCUUAAAAUUCUGAAUUCUCAUUACAAAUUCUAAUUAUGGUGUCCUCUUAAGUUCCAUUUCUGUACUAUCUCAAUUCUUUUAGUAUUAAGCAUCCUUUGGAAUUUGGAGCUUAUGCAUAUAUCAAUAUUAAUUACUUCAUAUGCAAUAUUACCUCCUUCCUUUUGCAGGCAAAUCUUGCCUUGAAUAACCUUGAAGUGCCAGUCGGGUAAGCGCUCUCUUUAAGUACUGCUCACACUAUCUUUCUCUCAAAAUUUGGUAAUAGAUUUACCUUUGACUAUUUGAUUUGUUUCGUUAUUCACUUUCAUUGUAUAAGUUUGGUUAACAGUGUGCCUUGAAUCAAUUAAGGACUUUCUUGUUUAUUUGUUUUAAAGGGUGAAAAUAAUGCAAGGAGAAUACGAUUCUGAAAGAGGCAAAGCCCUUGGGGACAUAUAGAUCAAUAAUAUAUAAAUUUGAUAAAAAUAGGUGUGGUAAUCGAUUGGUUUGGGCUUGCUCUUUAAUUUGCUAUGGGGUGUACACCUCUAAUUUACAUAGGGUUUGGUGGCUUGUUUUAUCAGGAUGAGUCUUAUCCUGGUAUCUUCGUAGUAUUUAGGGCUAUGUGCGGAUGAGUCUUAUUUAUCAGUUUUGAUAAGCAUGCAAAUGAUCAUUUUGUCUUCAAAGAGGUAUGACAUGAUUGUAGCAGAGCCUGUGGCUUAUGGGGGGUUUUAGAUUUGAAGAUAUUAAGAAGCUAUAACUACAACGAAUCAGACAUCUAAAUAGAAAUUAUUAUGUUAUCUUUUAAAAAAUUUAAGAACCCUAAUCUUACAUACAGUACAGAUAUUGUGUAGAACUGUAUAUGCACAAAAGUAAAAUAGCCCACAUCAUCUUUGGCUCAUCCACUCAUGAUUGACCGUUAAGAAUCGGAUUGACUCUAAUGGAUUGAUACAAAUUUUGAAAUUCAUGACCAAAUUGAGUCAGUUUUGUAAUGAGUGCCAAAUUUGAUACAUUUGGACCUAAGGAGUCAUGCCUUUAAUAUUUGACCCUAAACCUUUUCAUUUCAGUUUUGUCUUUCUAGUUCUUUUGGCCUUCCCUUUAUACCUGCACCUGCCUCUGUCUCGGCAAUUGACACCUUAAACUUCCUUCAUCCAUUGCUCUCAAGUCACUGUAUAAACAUCAAUGACGUUGCAUUGUUUACAGUCUACACUAGUUUAUUACUUGUAGAAGCAUGCUUUGAAAUAUGACGUGUUGGCAUAUUUUAGUGUAUGAAAAUUCAUUAUAAUUCAAUCAAUAUCUACCAAAUCUGUAUUUAAAUUUAUUUGGUGGCUUUGCGACUAAAUUUAAUACAUUAGAAUGUAUAUUGCAUAAUGUUGAAGUUUGAUAACAUUUAGUUGCAUGAAUAUGUGUGCUAACUGAUGUUUAAUUUGCCACUAACUAGUUGUGUCAUCAUUGAGGAUGAAAAGGUCAUUGCGGCAGGAAGAAAUCGGACAAACGAGACAAGAAAUGUAUGGACUUCAACUAUCUCUUUCAUGUGUAGUCUCUCCAUUUUGCUAGUCUCUCCAUUUUACUUCUUUAGCUUAUUUUCUUCAAAUGGUCUGAUCUUCUACCAUAUUAUAUAGUUGAUGCAACCUGGAAAUUUUAGUAAAUCAAAGUUCUAAAAUUUGGCAGCUGCAUUCAUCUGUUAGAUAUGGAAAUCAUUUUGAUUGAUUUGAUUUUUGUAGUAUAAUGUAUUAUCAGUUGAUGGAAGCUGUUAUUAUAGCCACUAUUUAUUGUGAACGGGACUGAAUGUUUUAACGCAAAAUUUGACUCGUGUAAACAUAUGAUGUACACAUAUAAAAUAAACUAAACAGACUUUCUAUCUUCGUUCUUCCUUUUUGGUAAUUUUGACUUUUGAGUACUGCUUGGCAUUAGUUGACAUUUUUUUUCUGUGUUAACUUUAUUAUCUUUUUAAUUGGACAAAUGUACCAUUGUAUAGUCUGAAAUAGUAACUUGUGUGUGUGUUUGUGUAGCUGUUAAAUUUUAAAACACUGAAUCUUUACACUUCAACUAGCAUCAUGAUUGUCAUUUGCAUUUUUAACUACAUAUGAAGUUUUACUAUUGAUUGCACUGGAGAAUAAUGACCAUAUGACUUAAGUAUGCACUGGCGCAGGCUACCCGACAUGCAGAGAUGGAAGCCAUAGAUAUUUUGCUUGAGCAGUGGCAAAGAAAUGGUCUGUCAAAGGCAGACAUCGCUAAAAGAUUCUCAAAAUGCACUCUUUACGUUACAUGUGAACCUUGUAUAAUGUGUGCAGCAGCUUUGUCAAUUCUUGGUAUGCCAAAUCAUUUACAGUACAGGAGAUUUGAUAGUGGUAAUUUUUUGUUGUGCUUGUCAUUUUGUUCUCUUUAACGCUUUCUUUCUUACGUAGGUAUAAAAGAGGUUUAUUAUGGUUGCGCCAAUGAUAAGUUUGGUGGGUGUGGAUCAAUAUUGGCUUUGCAUACAAGUGAAUCUGGGGGCUCAACUAGGUUAUAUUUUAAGCAUCCUCUUCAUUUGUUGCAAGAUUUAAGAUUUAAUAUCCUUCUUUGAAUUGCUUUAGUUUCAACACUGUGGAUAAUAAGACUAUCAUGCUAACAAACUAUUCUUCUACUACAAGGAGAAUUAAAAGCAUCAAGCAGACAAAGGGCCACCAAAAGCACACACAAAAAUAAACAUAAAAUAUGACCUAAAGUGGAUCACCUCUACAUACAUAUGCGCCACUUGCAACAGUGAAGCGAAGUUACAUAAAGAGAUAAUACUGAACUUUCAAAAAACUCAUAUUCACUCAACGAACACCAACUUUUUUCUGUAAACCAACUUUGUUUCGUUUGCGUAACUGUAUUUUUGCUUUCCUCUUUUGUUGUCAUUUAAUCCUGGUUGUUAAAAACAGCAUAACAUAUAACAGUCCGAAUCCAUUGGUCAUAUUUCAUACUGCACUCUGUUUCAACGAAUGGUUUCAUUCUUAUUUAAUGAUUAUUACUUCUUAUGUCAGGGAUGAAGUUUCACAAGGAAGGGGUUUUAAAUGUACAGGAGGGAUAAUGGCUCCAGAAGCAAUUUCUCUGUUUCGAAGUUUCUAUGAACAAGGAAAUCCUAACGGUAUUUUAAUUGCAUCAUGAUUAAUAAUGAAUGAACAGCUGGCAUUCUGUGCAAGUGUUUACAAUGCCUAUACAUGAGAAAGAAGGAUGAAAUAACUUUAAAUCAGGGUUCAAGUUGUCCAAAAUAGACAAGGAAAGUGGUUAAGUGGAUUUAUGCUUGACACUUGUUGCAUAUAGAAGAUUUUAUCUAGUUCUUCAAAUUUGAAACCCCAAUGUAAUCACUGAGAUUUGACUGAGCACCUGGUAGUCAAUUUGCACUUGAUUUGAUUUCUUUACAAUUCAAAUUAAGCUUGCCUCCCAAUUCCCAAAUGGUGGAAGACGCGUAUACUUGCACAAUAUAUUCAGUAGAAUGUAUUCUGUAAUGAGGCUUCAGCUUUAUUGGCUAUAUGCAAAGUAAACAGGCUUCAUAAUAAUAUAUUGCAUCUCGUAAUAUUUCUUGCUUAAAUACAUUGAAAAUUAUAGCUGCUGUGUGUUGUGUAUUUCAGCUCCAAAGCCUCACAGGCCACUUGCCCCAAGCAUUUGAAGAUGAAUUUCUCCUUUUGUAACAUUGCUAUUAAAUGAUCAGGUUAGCUUUCUGCAAUUUGUUUGAUCAUAUAUCUUACAGUUUCAUUUUUAUAGUGCUAGUUUUGUGAACUACUAUUUGACAACUUUAAUAUUGUGAUGAAUUGUGUGCAUUUUUUAAUAUUGUAUUCGAUAAUGUUUGUGAUUGUUGCUUCACAGCUAAUUGUCAAGAACAAUCGAUGGAAAUGGGUUCUUUGCAUAGAGACCAUACACUUGCUUUCAGGCAAUCUUGUAUUUUAAAAUAGAUGAAGUGGACAAGCUUCUUGACAUGCAAGUGACUGUUGAUAAAAUUAAUUAGUACAGUAACUUUCAACACAAUUUGUAUUUAUUAUAAAUAUUUAAUUGUUUAAACAGAAUAUAUUAUGUAUUUAUUUUUAUUUGGUUGAAUUAUGAUUCCAAAUUAUUUAAAUAGUUACGUUAUCUUUAAGUGUUUAGUAAGCCGAUUAAUUUUUUUGUUAGUGAGAGUAUGCCUUGGAAACGUUUUAGUUAAGCUCAGUCUAUCAUAGACUAUUCAGCUGUCUUGUUGAGAUUACGCUUCUAAUAAUUCCCACUUGAGUAGGGGGGAAAGAAGUCGAAUGCUUUUGAAUUAUAGCAUGGGUUUGUUCGGUUCAGAUUGCUAAUAUAAUGAUCAAAUUCGACUCAGAUUUGAGUAUAGUGAAAAUUUUGGAACUUGUACUCGACUCUUAUUCGAAUUGGUAAGCGUGUUCUUUUAACUCGAUUCGAUUUGAAUUAUGUGAUUAUAUUUGAAUUAAUUCGAAUUGAAUUUAAAUAUAACACAAUUCAAAAAGCUGUGAAACUUGAUAUUUGUUAAAUGUGAUCUCUAAUAAGUAAUAAUUAUAAACAAGAGAUUGUAUUACAAUUCUCAUGAUAAAAAAGACAUGAAUAAUUUACGUCGUAAAAGAGAUUGUAUUCGAAUCAGUAUUAAAGGAAUACAAGUCCACAAGUCCUGGUUAUAUUUUUUUUUUAACCGAAUGCAAAUUGCUUACGGUCAUUUUCAGCCCUACUCGAGAUAAGUUAAUCUUCUGAGGUUUAGAAAUAUCAUAUUUUUCCUUCAGGUCACUUAUGUGGUUUCAGCGUGCAUAUUUAAGCAUCUAAUCAGAAGAUUCAGACGCCAAAAAUCACUGUUUAAUUCUGCUGCAUCUGCUUGAACAUCUUUUAAAGAACUAUUAGUAUUUUACGUAAAACCGGAACUCUGAUUCCCACAAACUGUUCUUAGGAAUAUAACCCGAACUCUGGAUUUCCACAAAUAGUCCAUAGUUACUGAUAGUGGAAGAUUAUACAAUGUAUUCUAGCUUGUUAAAAGAUGAACCAAUUUGUUCAAGUUUCGAGAUGAGGAGCCAUCAGGGCUACAGGCCUUCUCUGCUUUCUGUUUCCACUCCAUAGCCUUCUUCUUCAGUUUUUUACCCUCCACUCCCUCCAUCAAGAUUCUCACAAGCUUCUCUACAUCGUCUCUCCUCACGUUAUCAUCAACCUCCAUUCCGCACUCCCAUUCUGUACAAAUGUACCUACAGUUAGUCACUUGAUCUCCGAAAAAUGGUAAACACAGCAUUGCUACUCCAGCGGAUAAGCUCUCAAUUGUCGAGUUCCAACCUCCAUGUGUCAAGAACCCUCCCACUGAUCUGUGGUUAAGGACUUGCUCUUGAGGACACCAGCUUGAAAUGAAUCCUCUCUCCUUUAUGCAUUCCAUAAAUUCAAGUCCUAAAGUAGUUUUGGAUUCGCCAACAAUAAAGUCAGGUUUUAUUAUCCACAAGAAGUUCUGGUGGCUAUUAGCAAGACCCCAACCAAACUCCACUAACUUCUCCUGUGACAUGAUUGCUAAGCUUCCAAAGUUUACAUAGACAACAGAAUCAGCUUCUUUAGAGUCUAGCCAUUGUAGACAAGUUUUUUCCUCUUCCCACAGAUUAUAUCCUAUGCCCUUAAAAUCUUCAUGAUCUGGUUCCAGUAAAUUAAGAAGCAACUGUUGAGGGCCUAUUGUGUAGACAUUGGGAAACAAAGAUGAGAUGGCAUUUACAACUUCUUGUUCCAAAUCAUCAAACGUGUGAAUUACAUGUCCUGUACUAUUCCUCGCGUUAUUCAUAGCUUCCUUUGUGUACUUGAGCAUUAUAUUUUCCGUAUCUGUAGUCUGGAUAAAGGUCGGGAGAUCCCUUAGACGAAUAUUUUUCAUUCCAGGAAUCCAAUCUAAGAUUGUAUUCAGAUCACCGUUCCUUUGAUAGAGCCCAUCUGUAUCACAUUAACAAUAGUUGUGUCAUUGCAGUCUGCAAGUGCGUGUGUUGAUAAUGCAAGACCGUGACUAGGAAACCAUACCUUUCACUGUUGCAAGACCCUUUUCAAAAAGAUUAAGAACCUGGAAAGAUCCCAUCAAUCCACAGGCAGAAACAGUCCAAAUUGAAAAGAUAGGAAUUCCAAGUGAAUGUGCCGCAUCAGUUGGGAAUGGCAUAAAACCAUCAGAGAGAAUGGAAGUGACUGGAAGGACUCCAGCAUUUAAUUUUUCAAUAAGAUUUUGAAAUGGAGGUAACAUUUUUUUGUUGAAGAUGGACUCAGAAAGGGCAAGUAUGUCUUGGUUGGAGUUGUCAUCCGAUGGAGGGAGGCCAUCCGGGAUGGUCUCGAAUCUGAAUCCUGGAAGGUCAUCAAGAGAUUGAAGUGCUCCAGAAUUUAGUAAACGUUUGUGGAUGAACUCCGUAUUAACACAUGUAAUGAAAAUGCCUUUGCUGUGCAGGAGCUUUGCCAUCUUUAGCAUCGCUUUUAUGUGGCUUUGAGCAGGGUAGGGAACGCAGACAGCGUGAGCCUGCUUCUCCGAUAAUCCUGACAUUCCCUUCUGUUAAAAGUUUUGUUAGAUAUCAACUCUUACUACACUCCACUGUCAGUUUAUAGCAAAACUAGAAAUUCCCCAGAGGUGACAGCAAUUUAGCUAAAAGCGUCUAAAACCCCCGAAAUGUAUUGUAAUACAUAAUCGGUUUGGCUAGUGUGUGCCCAUGGGCACAUGCUAAGCGCGGAAAUUUUUGUAUUUUGGGAGAUUUUGAUUGGUUUGGUUGGUGUAUUUGCGGGGGGUCCACCAUUAUCAUUAGAUAGGAGCCAAUCAAAAUGAUCCAAGCACAAAAUUUUCCACGCUUAGCAUGUGCCCAUAGGCACACCAUAGAAAAACCGAUACAUAAUUAUUGAUGACUACUUUCCAGCAUUUUAUUUUGUUAAAAUGUCGGAGGUUUAUUGUGUACUGUGGCAUUCAUAAAGCCAUACAGAACUAUGAGCGAACUGCUGCAAUUAUAUACAUAUUACUCCCAAUUUUUAUUUUAUACUGUCUUGUACUCUCUGAGUUUUUUUUGUUUUUUUUUUUUUUUUUGACAAUUUAAGCUUUUAUGUAGUAUCUGUUCUCUGAUAUUUCCUGGGGUGAGUCUCUAAGACUUAUCGGGAUGACUAGAGUAGAAACAGAUGUUGCGACGAAGGCUAUCCAAUCGCACGUAUAUCACGUAUUCCCAAGUUUUAAAUACAAGAGGAGAGGAAAAAAAUUUGUAAAUUUUCAAUCUAGCUUGUGUUCUCUAAUUUAUUUAUUUUUUUAAAAUAAGAGAAUCGAACAGAUUUGGAAAAUAAAAAAUUCUCAUAAAUUGCUCUCCAUAAUUUUCUUCCUCAAGAAAGGAUGAUUGACAGAUAAAUUCUCGUACAUGUAACAUGUUCCUUUCUAUUAAAAUUUUCUCUCCCAUCACUGCACAUCUGCAAUGAACUCAUGAUCAUUCUAAACUAACUUUUUGACCAUACACUUAACACAGUAAGUUAAACAGAGUUGUUUGCGGUACACGAACUUGCAUGAACAAUGUUCCAGUUAAAACUCGAGAUUGUCAGCAUGAUGAAACAAUCUCAACAGCUGGGCUGGUUUACACGCUUAUCUUGGGCUGUUUACGAUCUAUCUAGUUUAUUAAGCACGAAAACGAACUGUUUAUCUCCUAUAUAAAGAGUAGUUUACUAAAAAGUUCGAACUCGAAAUGUAGAAUUGAGAUAUUGUACCUGUUUUUAUAAAAUGAAGAGCAGAGCUGCCGGUGAAACAACAGAAGCAAGAAGCAGGAGCAGCAAAUCAGAAAACCAAGCUUUUGAGAUUUUAAGUUUCGGCAGAGAGUGAGAAACGUGUAUUACACUAUUUCUUUGCAUUCCUCCUGUGUGGCCUGUGUAUAAGUGGCAGCCUAUCUGCCACGUUUCAUAUGUUCUCAGUUUUUCAAAUAAGUUGAUUGUAAAUAAUUGAGCAGAAACACAAGAAACUUUAUUGAUACCAAACUUCAGGCUUACAAAGGUUUUUUUUUUCUUUUCCUGGAACUAUGCUAUGCUCUAUAAGGUUCCAGAAUUUUCUUCUAAUGUUUUUGAUUCUAUGAACCUUCUUAAUUAUAUUGUCUCUUCAUUUACCAAAUACCUUUAAUCCAGUGGCCUGUUUGAAAAUUGGAUUUCAUUUGGAAACCUGGAUCUGAUCAAAUGACAUGUUUGGAUAUAAAAAAAAAAAAUGGAUUUAAAUUUCAUUUAAAAUCCAGGAUAUUCAAGUACUAGUAUAAACACUACAUGCUUUAACUCCUGUGGACAAUAUCUAAACACUCAUAAGCUGCGAACAGUAACCUUUCUUCAUAUUUAUCAUGUUUAGAAGAGAUCUAGCUUGUCAAAAGAUGAAUCAAUUUGCUCAGGUUACGAGAUGAGGAGCCAUCGGGGCUACAGGCCUUCUCUGCUUUCUGUUUCCACUCCAUAGCCUUCUUCUUCAGUUUUUUACCUUCUACUCCCUCCAUCAAGAUUCUUACAAGCUUCUCUACGUCGUCUCUCCUCACAUUAUUAUUGACCUCCAUUCCGCACUCCCACUCUGUACAAAUGUACUUGCAGUUUGUCACUUGAUCUCCGAAAAAUGGCAAACACAGCAUUGGCACUCCAGCCGAUAAGCUCUCCAUUGUCGAGUUCCAACCUCCAUGUGUCAAGAACCCUCCCACUGAUGUGUGGUUAAGGACUUGCUCUUGAGGACACCAGCUUGAAAUGAAUCCUCUCCCCUCUAUACAUUCCAUAAAUUCAAGUCCUAAAGUGGUUUUGGAUUCGCCAAAAAUGAAGUCAGGUUUUAUUAUCCACAAGAAGUUCUGGUUGCUAUUAGCAAGACCCCAACCAAACUCCACUAGCUUCUCCGGUGACAUGAUUGCUAAGCUUCCGAAGUUUACAUAGAGAACAGAAUCAGCUUCUUUAGAGUCUAGCCAUUGCAGACAAGUUUUCUCCUCUUUCCACAGAUUGUAUCCUAUGCCCUCAAAAUCUUCAUGAUCUGAUUUUACUGAGUUAAGAAGCAAUUGUUGAGGACCUAUUGUGUAGACAUUGGGAAGCAUAGAUGAGAUGGCAUUUAAAACUUCUUGUUCUAAAUCGUCGAACGUAUGAAUUACAUGUCCUGUGCUGUUACUUGCAUUUGCCAUAGCUUCCUUUAUAUACCUGAGCAUUAAUUCUUCUGGAUCUGUAGUCCGGAGAAAGGUUGGGAUAUCCCUAAGACGAAUGUUGUUCAUUCCAGGGAUCCAGUCUACGAUCGUAUCCAAAUCCCCAUUUGUUAGAUAGUUGACAUCUGCGUCACAUGAACAAUAGUUGUGUUACUGCAAGUGUGCUGUUGAUGCAUAAACCAAGAUAAAAAAAGAAAAAAGAAAAUCAUACCUUUCAUUGGUGCAAGAUCCUUUUCAAUAAGAUUAUGAACCUGGAAAAAGCCCAUCAAUCCACAGGCAGCAACAGUCCAAAUUGAAAAGAUAGGAAUUCCAAGUGAACGCGCUGCAUCAGUUGGGAACGGCAUAAAAGCAUCAGAGAAAAUGGAAGUGACAGGAAGGGCUCCAGCAUUUAAAUUUUCAAUAAGAUUUUGAAAUGCUGGUAGCGGUUUUUUGCUCAAGAGGGAGUCAGAAAGGGCAAGUAUGUCUUGGUUGGAGCUGUAAUCUGAUGGAGGGAGGCCGUCCGGGAUGGUUUCGAAUCUGAAUCCAGGAAGGUCAUCUAGAGAUUCAAGUGCUCCAGAAUUUUGUAAGCGUUUGUGGUUGAAUUCCGUAUUAACAAUUGUAACGAAAAUGCCAUUGCUGUGCAGGAGCUUGGCCAGUUUUAGCAUUGCCUUUAUGUGGCUUUGAGCAGGGUAGGUAAUGCAAACAACAUGAGCCUGCUUCUCCGACGAUCUUGCCGAUGAUUCCAUGCUCUUCUGUCAAAUUUUUCAUUUAGUAUUAACUUCUACAACUACAGUAUUAUACACCUACCCGAACUAGUCUUCGUGUAAUCAUUACAAGAAAAAUGAUAAUAAUAGAUAUCAAUUUCUGACGGAUGUCUUUAUUUUUUCGACCGAUGUUGAUGUAAGUGAUGUCCUAUUCUAAACACCGGCCAGAAACUGAUCUCAACCUUCCUUAAAAAUUUUUAAGUACAGUAUUGGUGUUUGUAAUGCAUAUUAGUUCAUAUCAGUCUUCCAAUCUACUCCAUAGAAUUAUUUCAAAUUUAAAAAUGAGCGUAAACGAACCAACAAGUUACACAUAGACUCAUCUUGACUCCCAGAUACAAAAACCUCAAUUAAUAAUUGUUAUAUCAGUCUUCCAAUCUAUAAGUCAUGAGUGAUUCUGUAGAAUUAUUUUCAAAUUUAAAAAUAAACAAACCGACAAGCUAAACAUAGACUCAUCUUAACUCUCAACAAACAAACUCAAGUAAUAAUUGUUAUCGGACCUCAGAACUGAGUUAUUUUUUCUCUGGAUAACACAUAUUAACUUAAACCACGUAGGUUAUAGUCAUUUCAAACCAAAAAAAUCACUAAAAAUAUUCGGUAACAAAAUCUGUCAGAACCUAGACCCAUCAACAAUGCCAUGAAUUAAAAGACGUACCUGUUUUAACGAAGCAGUACUGCGAGUAAAGCUACAGAAGCAUGAGAUAGCAGAAUAAAAAAAGAACCAACUCUUUUCGAGUUCUUCCCUUUCUUUUGUUAGAGAGAAACGUGCAAUACUUUGCAUCCUUCAAUCUUGUGCCCGCCUGUUUCUAUAUACUUCACCUCGGCAGUGGGGGCCAUCGCCCUGUUUGCCACAUGUUUUUCCAGAUAAGUUAAUAUAUUAAGGAACGUAUGCAAGUCUUUACAAAAAAAAAAAAAAAAAGGAACGUAUGCAAGUAUUCUUGGACGUCACGCACGGGAGCUAGGAAAAUUAGAAACGGAACUGAACUCAAGUCGAAUAAAACUGAUACAAACAGAACUAUGUCGAUUCAAUUAAGAUAUCUAUAUCUCCGACCAUAAAAAUCAUUUAACUAGUGAGUUAGCUUAUCAAAAGUAAAAAAAUAUAAUUCACUUCUUGAAAAAAUCAUACGAUACUCAUCUUUUGUCUAUAUAAUUAGCUAAUUUUUAUGGAUGAUUAUAUUUGUCGAACUUUGCAUGUCGGUAAAAAAUCUAUACAAGGAUUACACCAUUUAUUGUCUAUCAUAUUGAACUAUAUAUUCUUUUUUAACAAUCUAAAAUCACAUUUUAUAUAUUACAUUUUUUAAAAUUUUAGAUACAUAAGUCUAGCUUGGUACGUAUAAUCCAUAUGCUGUGAGAAAAUAUAGUCAAAUUUUAUUCCAUUUCCACACUUUGUUAUUAAAAUCUCUUUUCAUAUAAUUUAUACCGAUAUUCAUAUUCACUAUAUUCAAUUUUGAAAUGAAGACUUUUUUUAUAAUUUCAAAUUAAUAUAGCCUCUUUCUACUCCACAAUUGUAGCUCUUGAUAAGGAAUUUUUUAUGUAUUAAAUUUUUUAAAUUUUUGGAUAGAUGGAUCUAGCAUGCUACAACUCAUAUACAAAUAAGAAACAUAGUCAAAUUUUAUUUGAUUUUAAUUGAUUUUGACAUUUAUUACUAAAAUAUUUUCUCGUUUAAUCUGUGCAGUUUUCAUAUUCAUUAUAUAUAAUUUUCAAAUCAAGACUUUUUGUUAUAAUUUCAAGUUAGUGGAGUAUUUUUUUUUCACUCCAUAUUUAUAGCUCUUGAUAAGGAAGUUUUCAUAUAAUUAGGCUUUUGAUAUUUUUGGAUACAUAGAUUUAGCUUCUAUAAUUCAUAUGCGAAUAAGUAAAGUAAUCAAAAUUUAUCCGACUUUCACUUAAUUUGACAUUUAUUAAUACAAUCAUUUUUGUGUAUGGUAUGUACUGAUUUUCAUAUUUAAUAUUUCAAAUCUGGAUUUUUUGUUAAAAUUUCAAAUCAAUAGAACACUUUUUAACUCCACAAUUUUAGCUAUUGAUUAUGAAAAUUUAUAUAAAAGAUUUUUUUAAUUUGCAUAACUAGUUACAGAUAACUAAUUAUGAAUAAUAUAUAUAUAUAUAUAUAUAUGUAUAAUAUCUAUAUUAUAUCUACCAACUUUUUAACUCCACAAUUUUUAUUAAGAAUAAUAUAGAUAUAGAUAUAGAUUAUACAAUUUCGUCAGCUAAUUAUUCUAUUUCUUAUUUUAGUCCUAAUUAAAAUAUUAUUUUUAAAUUAUUGCAGAAUAUUUUUAUUUUAACCGGAUCAAAAUUACGACCAUAAUCAUGAAUAAGGCGGCAUAUAAAAUAUUAGUAAGAUAACUCAUAAACAAAAUUAAAAUAAUUAUAAUAUAUUUAUUAUUAUAUAUUAAUACAAAUAUAUUUUUUAAAGUGUUCGUACAUCAUUUGAAUUUUUAAGAAAUAGAUAUUUUUAGAAAAUAUCCGUGUAUGACAUGUUAUAAGUUAGUAACAAAUGAUACAUAAUUUAUAAAUAUUUUUCCACGUGAGUAAAUGUUGCUCUCAGGAUAUAAAUUUGAUAGUUCUUCUAAUUAGAUUAUAAAAAGAAGUUUAUGAUAAGUAUAACCACCAAUUAGAUUAGUGCUAGAAGUCUUACCUGUUUUUUCUCUAUAUAUAUCUUUUGAUAUACCCUAAAAAGAAUUCGUAAACCUAAUAGUUAAGAGAGACUAGUGAGAGAAACAUACCAGUUGUUGGUUAGUUCUUUGUGAAUACUGACAAGAGGCCUACCAACAUUCGGGUGUUCGUGUGAAUAUCGAUAGAGACGUAUAUUGCACACGCGGAGGACGUUGGUGAUUACAGCAAGUAAUUAAGGACAUCCAAUUGAGAUACAUACAUACGUAAACCUAAUAAGGUAAUCAUCUAUCUUCGAAUAAAAUCUUAUGUUUUUGUAUGGAUCUUAGAGAGGGUUUUGAUUUUGUAAUUUUUUUUAAUUUUUCCGUUACUUUUUAUGCUCAAAACCCAUCACAAAUGAGUAUGAAUGCUUUUACAAAACGCUAUGAGAAGUAACAAAAGCAUCUCUAACGAUUUUAGCUAUAAAUAAUUGAUUAAAUUGGACUUGUAAAAUAUCAUGUGAAAUUUGUCGAACUUGUAGGAUAAUUUGCUUUAACUGUAUUGGCCAUGCAGAUUGAUUAUAUUUUAAAAUUAGUUUAUAAUAAUUAUUAAAGUUCUUAUAAAUAGAAUAUAUUAUUUUAAUAUGAUAAUAGAUUACGUAAAAAUUUGUUAUAGACAUCAAGAGGUUGGGCCAACAUGAGGAGGUUGCCUAUAAUUAUAAGUAAAAGUAAUGUUCCAUUGGAGUUAAGUUUUCUUUUACAUAAUCUUUAUAUUUUUUUAGUCUAUAGUAUGUCUUAAUGAAUUUUAAGUAAGUAUUUUGUAGAAUUGAAAAUACGUUAAAAGUAAUUUUGAUAAUUUCUGAACUUGACAAUUAUUCAAAAUACUUAACCUCUAAGUUAUCAAGAUAUCAUCAAUAGUUCUCCUCUUUUACUUUUAAAGAUAGGUCGCUUGCGAUCGUCAAUUGCGAUGUUACUUGAUAUGGUCAAUUGCGAUGUUACUAUUUUUCAGAGAUGUUGUUGCAAUUUGGAUCGAUUGGGAUGUCUUUGUUUUUGUUUUUCGCUUCAAGAAUUUUUAAAUAUGUGUUAAACGAUCAUGAAACAAAUCAUCUAAUUGUUUUUAGUAUGUUAUUUGUUUUACCACCUGGUUGUAUCGACGAUUGGGAGUUUGUCCCGGCUGUAUUAUAUUCAAGUUAAUGAAAUUUUCUUGCAUUUGCCAAAAAAAAGAAGAAAAAAGAUAGGGUCGCGCUCAAAAGAGAAGCAGUCCUUAAAAUAGAAUCAGAGAAUCAUUAAGGUACUGCUACAGAACCCUAUAUUUUAAAUAGAUUUUUAGGAUCUAAAUUUAAAUACAUGUUUUUUUCAUGUUUUUUCAUCGUUGUGUGUGUUCAAAAAUAAAUUUAAAAUAUAAUACAUAGAUAUUGAUAUUUUUUGCAUGUGAAGUUCUGCUGCAGAACCCUAACUAAUACUAGAAGUAAGGUAAGAGUUUUAUGAGUUUUCUCUCAAAUGGUUCUAUCUUGAACAUGACUCGGAUAAAGAUUUUGUCACCGAUUAUCAUCAAAAAUAAUUUCGAUAAAAUGUAUAUUAUACUAUUAAAUUUUAUAUAUUUUUUAAUAUAUAAUAUGUACAAAUUUUUAAUAAAGUUAUAUCAAAUCAAAUUUUUACAAAAAUCAUGAAACUAAAAUAUAAGAUUUUCUUUGAAAAUUCAUAAAUAAUCCGAACAAUACAAAAAUACUCUGACAAAUAUAUAUUACAAACGAUACAUAAUUUAUAUAGAUUUUUCCACAUGAGUACAAUAAAUGUUGCUCUAAAAAUAUAAAAUUAGCUAAAAAAAAUAUUAAUGCAGGGGAUAUAGAGUUGGCAAAUCAAUAUACUUAUACAAAGGAGAAGCGAGGGGCGUGUAGUUGGCGCCUCUCACAUCGCUGCGUUCUAUUUUUCUAAUUUUCUGAAAUUUUUGGAUGAAAAAUAUCAAAAAUUAGAACUACCUUUUUUAGUUUCGGGUAUAUUAGAAGCAAGUUUCAAAAUCUGAUUUUGUUUCAGAUUAUUCAUGAAAUAUAGUAGCUUGAAAAUUUUAAUUUGAUUUUGUUUCUGAUUAUUUAAUUAUGGGAAAGAGUAGCACAUAAGUCUUUCUGUACCUAUAAAUACCCCUAUACAUUGCAGGGUUUUGGAUCAUUUAAACACAACCUUCUCUCUUUUAUUACCACAACCCUACCUCUCUCAAAGUUAGUUAUAGACCGUUAUGUAGGAGUCGACAAAUCCAAACACGGGAAAAGAAUAUAGUCUUGACAUGAUAUUGAUGGAUGAUAUCAAUAAAUUAACUAUUAGUGAUGUAUGUCUGUUGGUUAUUCUUUUUUAAUAUUUGUUUUGUUCGUCGGAUAUGUUUAUUUUUGUUAAUUUUUAUAUGAUUUACUUUGUAUGCAGGAAAAAAUUAUUCAUGCAUAAUUUGUUUGCUCCGUUUAAGCAACUUUUCAGUGAAGACUGUUUAUACAGUAUUAAAAAAUAAAAAUUGUUACAAGUAAGGGUAGUUAUAGACGCUAUCUCACGGAUUUAAGUUAGAUGUUUUUGUGCUCAAUCAAUCUAAAAAAAUUGGAGGAAGAUGACAAUGUAAGAACAUGAUUACUAUAAAAAAAACACAAAUAAAAUUAAGAUUCGUCGUGCUUUAAAUUGUUAAUACGAGUAUAAAUUUAUUUUCAAUUUUUCACCAUGAAUUAUAUUCCAAUUUUCCAAUUUUAUAUAUUAGUAUUGAUAUUACAUCAAGAUUUUUAUAAUAUAAAAUUUAUUUUAUCCUACAAAUAUUAAUUUUGAAACAUUAAUAUACAUUUUAUAGACAACCACAAAAUUAUUUUAUUCUAUAAAUAUUAAUAUUAAAUCAUUAAUGUAAUUUUUAUAGGCCGCCGCAACGCGCUAGUUUAUUAGGAAAGAAAAUACACACAAGGUUUUUGGGCUUUGAUACAGGAGGCUUCUUAUUCCCUGCUGUGUUGCCUUGCCAGGCUUUAAAAAGUAGGCUUCAACGGUCGCCACUCUUCAUUUCUUCAGCAUCCGGAUUCUACCUUUCUUCAGACAUCGUCUUGGUAUGUAAUUUCUCUUUGUUUUUCUUGUAUAUAUAUGUUCAUGUGUAUCUAUGUGUAUCUGUUAUUUGAUCAAUUUAUGUUACCAGUUAUACAGAGCAUAUAUAUUGACAUUUCUGUACUUGAUUGCUGAUUUAGAUUUGAAUUUUUUGGUCUAUUAUGUAUUAAGAUUAAUCAAGGGUCUUGAUUAGAAACGUGUGUUUAUAUAUAUAUAUAUAUAUACAUAUAUAUAUAUAUAUAUAUAUAUAUGCCAUCAUUCCAUGGCGAACCAUCUUAUAUAGUGUCCCACUAGUCAUACAUAACAUGGACAAACAAUUUCACACAUACAAUCUAAGUAAAAAAAUUUGGUUUUUAAAAUUGAUUGUAGAACACUUUGGAUAAAUAUGAUUCUAUUGUAGAACCAGUUUGUAUAUUAUGAUUAAUUUUCAAUUUUUUUUGGAGAAUAAAUGAUGAAACUUUAUAUUUUAAUUUACUAAUUGUAUAUUUGAUGAAUUAUGAGAUUAAUACAUGAAUUUUAUGUGUAUAUGUGUUCUCUACUAGANUUUUGCCUCAAUUGGUUUUAGGUCUUUAAUUUCUAUAGGUUAACCUACCAAUUAGCUAAAAUAUAAAGUUGUUUAUUUGAUCAUGAUUUUAAGGAGUUAAUUAAAAUUAUAGCGGUAUUCGAUUAGGAUUGACAACUUUUUGGGUUGUUUGUAUUCAAUUAGGACUCCAAGGGACCGUUUGGAUGGUGGGUGGGAAAGGAAAUCGGAAAUGAGAAUAAGAGGUAUAGGAAUGGGAAUGAUUUGGUAUCCCGAGGAUUGAAGAAGGAAUGAUUUUCCUACUACAACAAAACUGUUAAUCCAAACACGCAUAAUGAUCUAUGGAGUCCUACUUCAAUACAAACCAAAUUAGCCUACAAACUAAAAACCCAAUUUUCAAUCACAAUUUUAACAGCAGAAAUCACUAUGUUGUACAUCACAGAUCACUAUUUUGUAUAUAUCAUAUCUCUCAAAUAUGAAUCUAUACAUACAUAUAUAUGCAACGUAUAUGACCAUCAUCUUCAUCCGAACUGUAAUAAUGGAUCUCUUACCACCAUUACCAGCCGUUUUUAUGACUUGCCACCAUCGCCUACCAUCACCAAUAGUCACAUACACUCUCUAUCACAACUUACCAAAAAUAGCGACUACUUACGACCAUCAUACACCUUCUCUUACCGCUUCUUAUCGUCAAGAACCUUCCUACGAUUGAAAUUGAUCAUCUAUAAUCGAUUACCAAUAGUUUAGGUAAGUAGAUUUUCUCAAUUUUGAAGAAUAAAAAUCGCUGAAUGUAUACUGUAUUAAACAGUGAUUAAUGCCGUAUAAGUUAGUGAUUCUCAUAGUUAUAAAUAGUGGUAGGGAAAUUGGUUUUUAGUUUGUAUAUAAAAGUUGGUUUGUAUUUGAUCACUUGCCUAUAUAUAUGUAUGUAUGUAUGUAUGUAUAGAGUAAUGUGCAUGUUUAUUUGUAGAUAGUUGAAUUUCUUGGAUUUGUUUGGUAAGUAGUUUCUUAUAGAUAUGUGACCAAGACCUGAUAUAAUCCCUACAAUUUUUACAAUUUUACAUUAUCGACCAUAUAUCUUUCUUAGCCCAUCAUUCUCUCGCCUGGUCGUUACUUUUCUCCACAGCUUUCUUUCACCUCUGGGCACCAUAUCUCUCCACUUUACCUUCAUCUUUGAUCACUCAUCCACUUCUACUCCGAUCCAUAAUUUGGUGUAACAUUGUCGCUGAAGAGCUUGGUUCUCACCAUUUCUACCAUUGGCCCCCUUAUAUGCCAUUUCCGUCAUCCAUCUCCUCCGCUUCUAUAAGAUUAUAUAAGAUUUUUUAUAGUUUUAAUGAAAAAGGAUUGAGAUGAAGAUUAAGAUGGCAUAUAAGUAUGAACCUUAUAUGCCAUCUACAUCUCCGUCCCUUUUCUCUCUUCUAACCCCAUGUCCACGUCCUCCACUUUGCGAAGUCUACGUCAAUGACAAAUAUAUAUAGGGUCCAUCUCCGGUCCCAAAACCCACAUCAUUCUACUUAAUCGCAUUGGUUUCUAUUUAGUUUCUGUUCUAAUAAUUUUUAUUGGAGUAGGACCCUAUAUAUAUAUAUAUAUAUAUAUAUAUAUAUAUAUAUAUAUACAUAUAUAUUUUAAAUUUCUCAAAAUUAACGGAAAGAAUGACUAAAUUGAUACUUGGUGCUUUAAAUCAAUCGUUAUUUAUAGGUUCUGUCUAUCAAAAAGUUAUCCUACAAGUGCCAUCNNNNNNNNNNNNNNNNNNNNNNNNNNNNNNNNNNNNNNNNNNNNNNGAGUUUGAAAUUUUAUAUUUUUUCACCCAUAUAACAUGUAUGAGUUUGGAAUGAACAAAAUACAUACUUGAUUCCAGAUCCUCGUGAAGCAAACGAGCCUUUAUUCUUUUAAUGAUUAUAAAUGAUUGUAUAUAUAUAUAUAUAUAUAUAUAUAUAUAUAUAUAUAUAUAUACAUGUCCAAGUUCUAUGAAGUACAAUAAAUAUUGGAGUAUUGCAGUUCAAAAUUGGAUAAGAUAUAAUCUAGCCGUUUUAAUUUAUUUUUUUUGUUCAACAAUAUAUGUAAACAUCCGAAAACCUGCAAAUUAUGUUCUGCAACAAAAUUGUUGUAAUCAAAAGUAGAACAAUUACUUUUACAAAUCGCUGAACAUUAUGUUCUACAAUAGAACUCAUAAGCAGAACAAUGAUUGUCUUGUUUUGACUAAAUCCAACAACAUCUUAAUAUAUAUCCUUAUUAUCAAUGAGUGCCCAUAUUCUUUUUUUGAGUGAGAAUAUUGUUUCCUUCUUUUAGUUCAAUAGGUUUGGAGUGGAUAUUUGCUUUGUGUCAAAAGUUUUUUGUUGUUGACCGCCUUGCUGCAAAUGUGUUUGAUGCUUUUGGUCUGUUUUACUUUGGCUUUGUAUACUAUUUAAAGCUUAAAGAACUAACAAAUUAUCUUUAGUUUGAUUUUGAUAUAAUUGUAUAAAAUCCAUAUAUUAUAUGCUAAUCAAGGUUAUCACGGCGCCAAGUCGAGCCUCGGCGCCCAGAUACUGUGGAAUUAGGGUUAAAAAUGGGGCGGGUUCGGGGCGGAGACUUCAUUUCCCAGCCCCGCCCCAUAUAUAUUUUUUUUGCCCCAUCCCCGCCCCAUUCCCCGCAGGGAUUUAUUUUCAAUCCCCAUCCCCGCCCCACGGGAGAUUUAAUAUAACUUCGCCCCGUCCCGCUGCUAUAUGUAAUAUUACAUUUUAGAUAUUUGCUUAAAAAUUUAGUAUUUUUUUCUUCGAAAUUUAAUAAAAAUAUAAGAGACGUGUAUAUUAAAAGCAAAAUACUAGAUAAUGCAUGCAUGUCAAAUUAAAAUAACAAUAUAAUCAUGCAAUAUAAUUAUAUUAAAUAUAAUUAUUUAUAAUUAUAUUAAAUAUAUUAUAAUAAUACAAUAUAAAUAUAUUAUAUUAAAAAUAAUAAAUAUAUUAUAUUAAAUAUAAUUAUUUCUUUAAAUUAAAAUAUGCGGAGUGGGGCGGGGAAUCCCCGCGGGGAUUCAACAAAUACCAUAUUAGCGGGGCGGAUCUCCCCCAUUUGGGGCGGGUUAGGGCAGGUUCCCCAUUUUCCCCGCCCUAUUUUUAACCCUACUUGGAAUCGACUAGUCGACAAGUCGCCCGACUAGUCGUAAAAAGUCGACAAGUCAUUCAUAUACAUAUUUUUACUAGAUUUAAUAAAUGAAAUAUAGUUGAACACACAUCAGUUUAUAGUUUGAAUCAAAAGUAAAAGAUAAUAAGCAACAAUGAGAAGUAUAGGACGUAGCAGAUUGUUAGUUCACAUGUAAAAUGAAGCCCGAAAGGAGUAAUAGGAAGGAAAUAAUAAUAUGAAGUUAAAAUGAUACAAAGAUCAAGGAUACACUGAUAUGUUGAAAAUAAAACAAAGAUUACAUGAUGCUAAUAUUACUGACAUAUUACUGACCGGCUAAGAUUUUGUUUGUUUGGGCUUUAAGCCGUAGACUUAAAGUAAUUUUCAGACUUUGAUUCAAAAUUGUGUGUUUUUGUAGUAAAAGUGAGUUAAAGUUGAAAAAGGAGAUUAUAGUCAAAAUUUGGGACGAGGUACUUUUUUGUAGGGCUGAGUAAAACCGGACCGAAACCGAAUCGAAUUGUACAAUUUUGGUUAGGUUUGGUAUGAUUUUUAUUGAAAUUUUCGGUUAUUUCGGUUUUCAAUUAUUAACCGAAUAAUAAUUCGGCUCGUUUAUUCUGAACAUAAAUUCAGUUUUAACCGAAUGAACCGAAUUAAGUAUAUGUAUUAGUUUUUAAUUAUAAAAAUGUGUUAAUAUUCAAUUUAAUUAAUAAUUAGUAACGUAUUACAUGGAGAUGCUUACUCGGUAGACUACCAAGCUCCAUAUAAACUCAUCAGUUAAUACAAUAUCAAAGAUUCAAUGAGCCCAAGUCCAUGACCUUGAUCGUGAAUUACUAAUGAUGUUUAACACAUUUAACGAGUAAUUCUAGUUCACAUAUUAAUACACCAGUUGAUAUAGCAUUACACCGGUAAGGAGUCUGGUAUUGUUUUUGUAUAAUAAUACUCGUGCAUUAUAUAUUUGUAAGUCUACUACUUUCUUGUCUGCAUUUUUUUUCCAAAAAAAGUCUGGCUUAUAGUAAUUGAACUUUGGUUCGGUUUGAAUGCUAAUUCGGUUUGGUUUAAUAAAUAAACUAUAUUUCGGUUACUUCGGUUCAUUUUGGUUACUUCGGUCCGAACCAAAUCGACCGAAUGCUCAAGCCUACUUUUUUGAACAACUUAUUUUGUUUUUAUAAUUUUAUUUGAUACAAGUUAAUAUCAUCAUUCAUAUGUACAACUUAUAAAUUUAAUUUACGAAGGCAUAAGUUACAAGUAACAAUAGAGUUACCCAGAUAGCUAGAAAGCAGGGAUACUUCAUCUGGGUGAAGAACUGCGUAGGGGAUACUUGGGGGUGCGGGGGUGCGGCAGGAUACGCACGGGAUACGCCACGUGGCGUAUCGGUGGAGGCAGUGAUGGAGAUACGCGGGGGUGCGGGGAUGGGGGUGCGAGAGUGGCACAAAUCGUAAUUUUUUACAACUUUUUUUUAAAAAAAUAAUUUAAAAUUAGUUGGUCAAAAUCAUGGAAGCCAUGAUUAUGCUCGAUUAAAUCACUUAAAUUGCAAUAUUUAUUUAUGUAUUUUAAUUGUAAGACUUAAGGAUGAUUAAUUUAGUUAUUCAACUAUUUUGUUCUACUUAAAUGCAUCUUAUGUAUUAUUUUUCUAUCUAUAUAAUAUAUUUAAUAUUUUAAUAUUUGCCGUAUGCCCCCGCACCCGUAUCCCCAUAUUUUGGAAUUUGACGAAUUCACGUAUCCACGUACCACGCACCCGCACUCCCGCACCCGCACUCAUGCUUCCUAGCCAGAUAGAUACUAACCUGAAACUUUAAGCUUUUACUUUUUAUAUAUAGUAACUAUAAGUUACAAGUCAAUUUUUUAAACUUACCCAAAUGGCCUCUAUCAUUCCACCAAUUUACGUUUGGGUUGGGUACGGGGUUAAGAAAAGUUUAUAAAGUAGUAGGACAUAGUAAGGAAAAUGGGUAAUGUGGUGGGACCGAUCAAUAUUUAAUUGAUAGAUUUUGAAAGUUGUAUGUAAGUACCGGGUGAGAUUGAAUUUUAUAUUAUAAAAGUAAACUAUUCUUAGUAAGUUUUGAAUCAUAAAAAAUUGAGAGGGACAUCCAGAGAAGGAAAGUGUAAAGAAUUGAUUGAGAUAGAGGGAGUAGUAUAUUCAGAUUAGAAUUCGAAGUUAUCAUUAUAUAUAAGGUUGGUUCUAUUUUCGUUCGGAAUUUACUUGCCUUCAAGUAAUAGGAUUAUUUGUAUAAACUUUUGCAAUGCUCAUUAUUAAUAUUGGGUGGGUAAAUAUGUUUGUUGACCCUUAUCUACAUCAUGUAUCGUGUCCAUCAUCUUUCUUUUAGCUUAUUCCACUUUAGUAUUACAUAUCUUUAUCCCUUGUCUAUUGUAGACUUCUCUUUAAAAGGUAUCUCUAAACCCUAAUUCUUCAGUUUUUUAUGUUUUUGUUUGCCUAAUGUAGUAGUUUAUUAUAGUUUUAUUAUAUACAUGGUACUUCAUCGGGCAAGUGUGUUGUGUGAUUUGACGGUUCUUAUAAUUAAUCAUAUGUACACAUUUUUUUUUACUUUAAAACCUCGUUUGUUUGUUUAUGUACUAGUAAAGUUAGAAUAUUACAUGAGACAUAUUCUUAGUACUGUCACACAUAAUCACGUUGUGAAUUGCUGCUAUUUGCAUAAGUCCUAUAUAAGAGCAUAAAGGUUUAAAGCAAAAACUCUAAUGGAAUUUUAACUUGCCUGGAAUAUACAUAUAUCAGUGGAAUCUAAUAUCCAGUAAAGCCUAAAGAAAUACUGUGAAGUUGGUCUAAUUUAAUCUGCUCAACUCUGAAUUUGUUGGAUUUUCUGUAUUAUAUAUAUAUAUGUGUGUGUGUGUGUGUGUGUGUGGGAAGUUAGGGGCGGUUUCUUAGAUUUCACCUGAUGAUCUUCUUUCGCUUAUGCCGUUGUAUUUGGAACGUGAUCAGGUGGUUCAAUAAGUCAGUGAGUGGAGAGUUUAAGCCUGUUUUUAAUGUUGUUUUGAGUUGAGUGUGAAGGAAGUAUACUCGGUUUCUUUGUAACACAUUAGUUAUUGAAAGAAGGUUUCAUUCCUAGCUCCUUUGAAGCUGAAGACUUAUUUAUAUCUGUCAUUGGCAAAGUACAGAUUUAAGUGAUAAAAUCCAAGGGUGACAACGAAGGAGUUUUUCAAGCCUUUCCAGGUAUGGAUAGGAAGGAUGACAAUAGUUCUUGCUCAAUGAAUUUCGCUAGUACAUCCCAACAUUCAGUUUUGGGCAAUAUGUACAAGAAUUCUACACCAACUAGUUCGUUCCAGCUAAGGAAACAUCCAAUAGAUGCUAAUACCGUAUUCGCUUCCCGAACAUCUGUGAAAGCAAAUCGUAGCAGCUCUCUUUUGGUCACUAGUUCCGAAACAUCUUCAUUUGCUGCCAAUAAAGCAGAGGAUGUUGAUAAUAAAACUGCUAGAAAUCCUAUAAAUCUUCCUACUAAAUGCACAAGAGGGACAACAACUAGUGGACGUUAUCACGGUGAAGAAAUUAGUUUGGUAGUAGACUUGAGAUGCGCUGUGGUCAGAGACGUAGAUGACUACCUUGUAAAUGAGAGCUAUUCAUCAUCAAAAUCAAAUAUAGAACAAUGUGCGCCUACCAUGAAGACUGAAGCAGAUGACGCUGAUGAGUGCUCAUCAUCUGAAGCAUUUAUUAAGAAUUCCUUGUGUGACGAUAUAUCUGAAAAGGAUAUACGCAAUUUUGUUAGUAGAAGCUUGGGGCUACAUAGAGAAGCUUGUUGUAUUCGGACUAGUGUUUAUCCUAAAGUUUCAGGUUUCAAUAGCGAGUUCAGUUGUAUGCGGACAUGCAUAGUCUGUGAUCAUCCAGAAAUAACACUUAAGAUGCUAAUUUGUGAUCAAUGCGAAGAGGCAUAUCACAUCACUUGCUGUCACCCCCCACGGAGAAAGUUACCUCGGAACGAGUGGUUUUGUCACUCGUGUUUAAAAAAAAAGCAUAAAAUACCAAAGAAGUUGACUGCCAAAGGACCAGUGAAUUAUAGCAGUGAGAUACGCAGAGGUAGAAGUGCAAUUUCCAAAGGUACCUUGGGUCCUAUAGCAGCUAUGCUGGAGGACGCCGAACCUUACACCACCAAUGUACGUAUCGGCCUGGAAUUUCAAGCAGAGGUUCCUGACUGGUCUGGUCCACUUGCCAAGUAUGUUUUGUCAAUAGCUUCCAAUUUUAUUUGAUUUAGGAUGUUUUGCUGAACUAUAACUUGAUAAGCAGUGAAAUUAUCUUGCAAAUGUUGACAGUUGUGUAAUUUGCAGUUGUAUAGGUGGUGAUCACAUGUUUUUAUAGUUAUGAGCCAUUUGUAUGUCUGAAUGGUCAUACAUCUGUUGUAUCAUCUGCUAUGUAUAAUGUUUUAGGUAAAUAGUGUAGUAUAUCUGUAUAUGUACCCUACAUCCAAGUCCUUGAUCGAUUUCAAAUUACUGUUCGGAUACUUUAUAUCUAUAGUUCUGCCGACACUCUGUUUGCUGCUUCCUGCUAGUACAUGUUUAACUACUUCAAAAUUGCCUUAUAUCCUUUCUGCUCAUAAGAUUUAUUCCUAUAAACUACUACUUGUAUAUAGAUGUGCUAGUGUUUUAAUCUUCAUUUCUUUAGCAUUUGCAAAAAGAGUUUGCUGUAUGCUCAAUUUACUUUAUGCACAUAAUGCAUGCACGGAAAUUGACUGUGCAGAUCUUACUUUUAUUAUAUCUCUAAUUAAAAGUCUCUCCCAUGUUAUUCAGUGAGGUUGAUAAUUUUAAUGAACCACUGGAAUUGAGUCUCGCUGAUAGCUUUCAGGUCAGCAAUUUUCAUAUACAGUAUAAAUGACUCUUUUUACUUUAUGCAGCUUACAGAGUAAUCUGAGAAGUAAUAAGGAUAACUCCUGUUUUACAUUUGUUAGGAAGGAAAUUCAAGGAAGCCUUCUAAAGUCAGUUCCAUCUCUAAUUGGCUUCAGUGCCAAGAUAUCAUUUGUGGUAUUAGGGAGGGUGUUGAUGGAGUUGUUUGUGGGAAAUGGCGCAGGUAUACAAUCUCUUCUCUUUGCCAAUAUGGAAUGUAGCAAUAAUUUAUAGGAUAGCUAAGACUUCAUCUUUCACUUAAAUAGAACUUAUCUUAACCUUAUAUAUGCCUAAUAUACAUAAUUAGGGAAAAUUGUAGUAUACAUUUACUUGCUAGUAUCAGGGGAAAAAAAUUCAAGCAUAUAAUUGAAACAGAAGAGGGUGUAUAAGUUUUAUAAAUAGUUCUCUUCCCUUUGCUAGAAGUUUCCUCACUCCUUUUUUUUGCCAAUAUUGCAUUGUUUCCAAACCAGAUGCAAGCUAAAUAUCGAAGUUUCUAUAGAACGAGUGCUUUGGACUAUCUGUCUUAUAGAACUUUCAUAUGAAUAGGGAUCACUGUUCAUGGAUGUGAAAGAGGUUCUAUGCAAGUUCUUUCGGCAUAAAAUUUUUUUAGUCAAUAUAUUUUAGUUUUUGCGGUGAACUGGAGAGAAUAGGUUGUCGUGAGAGCUUAACAUUGGCCAUCCUAGAAAAUAUUUGGAAUAAAUUGGCCUUAAGUGUAGCACGGGGCAUAAUAGCUCCGUUUUUAUAAAAAUUGAUUAGUUUAGAGGCCUCUAGCCCAAAGUUUUGUGUUUGACCAAGUCUCGACAACAUGGUUGUAUAUUUAAAAGAGAUUAGUACUCAUUGCUUCUCUCAUGUUGUAUGAUCUAUUAAUAAUAGUUGGACCACUGAAUCCCCUUCGACUUGAAUGCACUAGAUGAAUGAAGUAGAUCUUUUUGGAUCUCAAUGACCAUGCAGGGAUAUUGAACCCAUGAAGAAAUUGGUGGAUGAAUUCAUUAAUGUGGUUCAGCUUCUAGAAUAAUUCUAAAAUCAUAUGUGAUGCCUCUUGAAAGUAAUUAUUGUUGUAUGACAGGGCACCUCUUUUUGAAGUUCAAAGUAAGAACUGGGAGUGUUUUCACUCUGUGCUCUGGGAUCCAGCUCAUGCUGAUUGUGCGGUGCCACAGGUACUAUUCGGUAAUUUUGUAUAGCAUGGCAUGUUUUGGAGUAAAGUCAUUAAACUAUAUUCAACUGUUUAUUCGCUAUGAAAUGAUACAUUAGAGUCGAAGAUUACCUUUCUAGAGUGUUAAUUGAUUCAGGAGAAACAAAUGUUAUUAGAGGUUUAAGUUUUUAGUAGUUCUAUCACUUUGAAGGGUGUUUACUGUUUAGUAUAUAGUGAGAGGUGAGUUGCUCUUGUUUAUAAGAGGAUUUCCUUGUUUUAAUUUUUAACUAAAAGAGGUCUUAACUACCUUUGCUUUUAUAACUUCUUAUUAAAAUAGUAGAAGCUCUAAGAAAAUGGAUGAUCCCUUGGAUAUAUAAAGUAAUGUUAAAAGAUUAUGAAAUACAAUAAAUUAAGACAAUCACACAAGGCGAAUAUUUAAACAUAGUCAGUCUAGCCACACUCCACCAGCUGGGCAUUUAUCUAUUAUUUCUGAUCUUAGGGUGUUACAGUUACAACAAAUUAUAUUUAGUAGAUAAAACUGGGCUAAACUUCUGCAGACUUGGGCCUAAAUUGCAGUUUUACUUAUAAGAGGAUUGCCAACAUAUGACCUUUCAAAGGAUCUUGGAUUUGGUAUAUAGUAUGGAGUGAAAAUUAUACUGUUUCCUAGUUAUAUAAGAAUAAUUUUCAUUUGCACUUAAUCCUGCAAAAGGGGUAUUAUUCGGGGGAAGUCCAUUCGUACAAAUUUAAGCUAAAGCUUGAUCCCAUAUAUAUAUAUAUAUAUAUAUAUAUAUAUAUAUAUAUAUAUAUAUCACUAAAAUCCUAAAGUAAACACCACUAAUUUCUCUAACAACCCCAUCUCCACCUCCAUCUUCACCAACCCCGCCAUCGCCUCCGCCUCCAUCUCCACCUCCGUUGUCACCUCCGUCAUCACCACCUCCAUGCCGCCUGCCCCCUCAUCUCCACCUAAUGCUAUGCGACCAAGUGGGGCUAAGUUUUGGCUCCUAAUGCUGUCUGGAGCCUGUCCAGGGCCUGUGCGGAGCCUUGGUGAGAGGCUCUAGAAAGCUCGAGGUGGAUUGAGUGGGGGCGAGUGUGCGCCUUAGGUGGGUGAUGACAUAUAGGGAAUGGGCGAUGUCGUUUAAGUAUAGUUUCUCUUGGUUUGUAUUUUAGUUUUUAUUUGAACAAUUGCCUAUAUAUAUAUAUAGGCUCAUGAUCAAAUAGAAACCACUUUUAAAAUAAAAACUAGAAACCAAUACAAGUUAGUGAUAUCUUCAGUACAAUUUAGUGAUAUUCUCUUUACGAUUUAGUGAUAUGUGUUGCACGAAUUAGUGAAAACUUGCGGAAACUGCCCAGAAUUUCUGAAUCUGUUCUAGUUGCCGAUUCAGGUGGUGGUUGCGGUGGUGGAGAUAAUGGAGGUGAAGGUGGAGAUGGAGGUGGUGGACAUGGAAGGAGCCUUUAGCUUUGUCCGGCAGAUUUUUGGCAAAGAUCUGAAAUUUAAAUCGGCAUUAAGCUAGAUAUACGGUACUGUAGGUGAGGAAGACCGAGGUGGAGGUGAGGAUGAAGGUGCAGGUGGAGGUGGAGGUGGGGGUGGAAUGGAAGGGGCGGUGGAGGCCGGAGGGGGGUUGGAUUUGGUGGUGAUAUAAAUAAUGGAGGCCGACAUGGAGGUGGUGGCUAUGGAGGGUCGGGCGGCAUGGAGGUGGAGAGAGUAGCAGAGACUUGGCGGGGGUGGUAGGGUGAAGCUGCCGGAAGUGGGGUGGAGGGUUGGUGGGUUGGAGAAGAAGAAGGAGAAAGUGGGGUUGUUUGAGAAUUUAGUGAUAUUCUCUUAGAAAUUUAGUGAUAGUUUCUAGUUUCUAGAAUAAGGAGGUUUCUAUUGGAGUAAAACUCUAGAAUAAGGAGGUUUCUAUUGGAGUAAAACUCUAUAUAUAUAUAUAUAUCCACCACAUAUCCUUAAGAUAAAAACUACAAACCAAAUAUCCACCGCAUAUUUCUUAUCCACCGCAUAAUUUUUUAUCCAGUAUUCCACCCGCCAAUUCUCUUUCUCUCGCCCCGUAUACAAACACACAUGUAUGUAUAUAUCAUCCCCACCUCUCUUCUUUCAUUAUCUCUAUAUCUUUCUCUUUCCAAGCUCAACUACUACUCAUCAUCACCCGCGACCUUCCAUCAUACCUUCCUUUCCUUGCCAUAGUCGCUCGUCCUCCACCAUUAACACCCCGUCAUCAUCGACCCUUUCCCCUCUCCUCCUCUGAUAUUUUUCUAAUGACCUCUCAUUCCAUCUUUACAUUAUCAUUACCACCACUUUCUUAUACUUGAUUGUUUUCUUCAUUUGUGGCCAUGUCAUGAAUUUUACGCCAUUAGUGCUAUGAUUGUUAUUUCAUAUAGUGGAUAACUAGUCAGCAAAGUUGCUUAUUUAAUUACAGAAAUCAGUGGUUACUACUAUAUAAGUUAGUAUUUUUGCUUCACAUUUUGGUGAUAAGUGCUAUUAAAAUUUGUGAUUUCUUUUUAAAAGUUAGUGAUUUAUCUAUUUGAAGUUGUAGUGAUGAUCGAAGAAGAGAGUUUGGGGAUAAUGUUAUGUGGUGUUGUUGAUGAUCAGAAUUAGAUCGAAGAUAUUAAUGAUCGAGUUGUUGCGUUGAUUGAGGGUGUAUAUAAAAAUAUGAUUGUGUAUAUAUAUGUAAAUGGGUUACUGGGUUAGUUUUUUGGAUGACGGGAGAUGAAAACUACUGAUGAUCACAUGUGAUGGAUUGAGAAAGUGAUCAGUGAUGGAUGAAAUGAAGAUGGUGAUGAUGGUAUAUUAGAUAUGUAUACAUGCGCUUAUUAGAAUAAAAGGACCGAGAUAAUCACUAAAUUUAAAUAUAAUAAUCAUCAGUUUGUAGUUUGUAGGAUAAACUGGUUUGUUUUGGAGUAAGACUAUAUAUAUAGUGCCGCGCCUAGGAGAGAACCAAUGCUUAAAAUAGAACCAUAGAAUCACUAAGGUUCUGCUGCAGAACCCUGUUUUUUACAUAGAUUUUCAGGAUCUAAAUGUAAAUACAUGUUUUUUUUUGCAUCGUUGUGUGUGUUCGAAAGUAAUUUCAAAAUACAAUACAUAAAUAAGACAUUUUUUUUCAUGUGUAGUUCUGUUGCAUAACCCUAACUAAUACUAGAAAUAAGCUAAUGGUUUUAAGGUCUUAAUGACUAAUGGUUCAAUGUGGAACAUGACUCACACACACACACACACACACACACACACACACACACACACACACACACACANNNNNNNNNNNNNNNNNNNNNNNNNNNNNNNNNNNNNNNNNNNNNNNNNNNNNNNNNNNNNNNNNNNNNNNNNNNNNNNNNNNNNNNNNNNNNNNNNNNNNNNNNNNNNNNNNNNNNNNNNNNNNNNNNNNNNNNNNNNNNNNNNNNNNNNNNNNNNNNNNNNNNNNNNNNNNNNNNNNNNNNNNNNNNNNNNNNNNNNNNNNNNNNNNNNNNNNNNNNNNNNNNNNNNNNNNNNNNNNNNNNNNNNNNNNNNNNNNNNNNNNNNNNNNNNNNNNNNNNNNNNNNNNNNNNNNNNNNNNNNNNNNNNNNNNNNNNNNNNNNNNACUAAUUGUCUGAUUAAUUUUAUCUAAUUAAUUGGUAGACAUGUACAAAUUAUGUCGUUUUUUCUAUAAAAAUUGUCGAACAGUAAAUAUAAGGAGAAUAAUUACUGUGGUUCCUUGUCAAAUAGGGCAUUGAAGUAAAGCUUUGUCGUUCUAGAAGUCAAACAGAACAAUUCGUCCUCAUGAGGUCAAAGAUUCCUAUACCUACUGGUUCGGGCAGACCUUAGGUUUCUAUUUCCAAUAUGAUAAGACAGUGACAAUAUAGGGAUUAUUCCUCAGUCCGGUUACACACGUAUUUUGAAAUAUCGGUUUGGCUAGUGUGUGCCCAUGGGCACAUGCUAAGCGCGGAAAUUUUUGUAUUUGGGAGAUUUUGAUUGGUGUGGUUGGUGUAUUUGCAGGGGGGUCCACCAUUAUCAUGAGAUAGGAGCCAAUCAAAAUGAUCCAAGCACAAAAUUUUCCGCGCUUAGCAUGUGCCCAUGGGCACACCAUAGAAAAACCGAUAUUAUAUUAUAAUACAAUAUAAUAUAAAAUAUAUAAUAUAGUUAAGCAUGAAUCGGAUCGGAUCGGAUCGUUAACAGAUCGGAUUUGACCAUAUCCAUAUCCAUUCUUUAUCGGAUCGGAUUAUUAUCGGAUCGGAUUAUUAGCAGAUCGGAUUUUUUAAAUAAGGAUCCAUAUCCAUUUAUUUAACCACGGAUCGGAUCGGGUCGGAUCGGAUAUCCGAUCCAUUUACAGGCCUAGGUACAUGUUAAAUUUUGCCAUCCCAACCCUUACCCCUACCUUUAAACCCACUUUCGUGGUGUUUUCUUUUAUAUCCGAUGCACUUUUAAAUUCUUAAACGUUUGUCACUUUAUAAAAAUAUGAUUAAUUCAUACUCUCAUAAGCUUUCUUUUUCAUUACUUAAACACCAUUUUUUUGUCCACGUCAGGAGGUGGAUACAGAUCGAGUUCUCAAAGAUUUGAAGUAUUUAGAAAUGGUAUGUAUUUCUGUCAUUUACUAACAUCAUGUGCAUCUGAAAGCCAUAGUUUUACAAGUUAUUUAAUACUCCUUCCGUCCCGGUGAGUAGUAUACAUAUGGGGAGUGGCACGGAGGUUAAGAAAAAGUAUAAUUUAGUGAUGAAAAGUUAGAAAAGUGGGUGAAGUGGUGGGGCCGAUUAAAAUUUAAUGUGUAAAAGAAGUGUAGUUUAAGUAAAAUGGUGGAACCUACUAAUAUUUAAGGUAUAAAGUGGCUGUAGUGGAAGAAAGUAGUGGGUGUAGUUAAGUUUUUAUAUCAUAAAAACUUACUAUUUUUGGCAUGUAUACAAUUGAUGGGACGUCCCAAAAAAGAAACUGUAUACAAUUCAAUGGGACAGAGGGAGUAUAAGCUUUUAUUAGUAAUUAUAUAUGACAAUAUUACAAAAACAUUACAUAUUUUCACAAGGCCAUUUCCUACGAGACCUUUGUUUUGGUCAUUAUUCGCUUAAUAUGAUACUGACUUUUACUAUAAUGCAAUGUAGUUGAAGCCUCGGCUUGCUGCUAAAAAGCGUAAAUUGGAUUGUAAAUACAUGAACUCCGAUGACCCUGACGAGGAUGAGUGAGAAAACACUUAACUUAUUAUUUAAUUGUUUGGUGUUUUUUAAUUGAAAUAUUAUGUUAUCCAUUUCCGUUUUACUAUAGGAAUAAAAUAACAUCGAAUACUACUCAUUGUAAAUUGUUAGACCUAACAUGGUCUAUUUUUGGGGAUCGUUGAAAUUAUCCGUGACACGAAUACAAGAAACAAUUGUUAAUUAUUGUGUGAUGAAUCUUUCAAUUUGCAUUGGUUGCAAUAUUAGUAUUGUUCAAUCACGAAGCUCUGCAUAAAAUAACUCCUCUAGAUUUGAACGAAUAUCUCGGGUAUUAAGAGAUGAUUGGAAACAAUGUGAUUUCAUGUUGGUGUGGGAACAUUUGGGUGGGUCCAAGCCAUAUAUGAGUGUGCAUAAUACUUGAUGGGGACAUUAGUUGAUUGAAUGCAUAAGGAAACAUCAUCAAGGCAGAUGAAAAACUAGGUGACAUCUAUGUUCGUAAAUUAACAGUGGAUGAGUUGGGACGAGAAGAUUGUAAAACAAACCUGGUAAAUAUAUCAGGGGGAAAAGCUUAUUAGAGGUACAGGCGAAAAAAACAAAUCAUCCUUGUAAAGUAAUUUUUGUACUGAGCUGGAUGUAGUCAAUAUAGAAACAUGCCAUGAGCAUAUUCACAUAUAUCAGCACACCUGAAAUCACAUGUACGAAAGCUAUGACAAUAUAAACAAUUAUAAUGGAACUUUCCUGGAUCCCGUUGUUGAGCACUCUCUCGAAUGAACACUCAAUCUAAUCAUGCGAGUGAGUCAUUGAGCUAGGCCUAACCUUGAAUGAGAAUAUCAGGACCCGUCUGUUGAAUAUUUGGCAUUCUUAAUGUUUGGAAGAGGGGAUAGUGGAUACAAAUCGGAAGCAAACAAUGAAAUUAUCUAAUGAAGAAGAAAGGCUUGGUGAAUAGUUUGAAGAAGAAAUAGAUUAUAAGGCAUAAUGUAAUGUAAAAUGUAAUAGUGAUAACUCAACACUGUAACAAGACAAGAAAUAAUAAAUACGUCUUAUACAAGAAUCGACAGAAUGACGAAAAAGUACAUACAAAAUUAGACAAUUAAGUAAACUAAAGCAUUUACAGAAUCACUAAAAGAAGUUCAUUAAUAUGUUCAAGUCUUGGUGAAAAACUCAAGUUGUUUUGAGGAUUAGAAGUUGUUUAUCGAAGCCAGUAUGAAGUGCCAGCGGAAUCUAGUAUUGUCAAGUUGAUCAUUCAUAAUCAAAACCUGAAGCAUGUCUAAUCCGAAAUGGACUACUCAAUGUUAGCUAACAAAGACGGUACGAAGUUCGAUUUCAGUUUUAGUUGUUUGUGAACCAGACCAGUGCAUUAAACAUCAACACGUACGAAGUUAUUCAUCGUAUUUAUCAAUCAAAGAAUUGAUCAAGUCAACAAUUUAGUAGUUUCAGAGUCAAGUAAAGCCUAAUAUUUUGUUCCCACGAGGCAACUACUUUCAAACAAAGUUAAAUUAGAAAGCGGCGCCAAAGAUUCAACACUAUACAUACAUAUACACUUAUAUGUGGAACCAGGUCUCUAGUAUUAGUAAUUAUCCCAAGUAUAGGCACUUGACACCUUCAAUACAUAUGUAUAUGUGUAGAGGCCCUAGUUGAAGCAAAAUAUGCCAAGUAAAUAUUGUGAUGCCUCAUGGUGUGCUAUGUGAACUAAGGUGGCGCCAACUUCAUAGAGUAUAUACAUGUGAUAACUUGACGCCAACUACUCAAGACUUGAAGAUUUCUCUAAGUAAAAGAGUUGGCGCCUCCACCAACGAAAGUAGGAGACAACUGAUGCAUACUAGCACAUAGAGGGACAAGAAGGCGCUGGGUGAAGAUAGAAGAAACUUUACUAUGCAAUUGAGAUUGAAGAAAGUAAAUCAACAAAUAAUGACCAUUCGACAUUCGUUGAUAGACUAAAAGAAUGGGUAGAUUGAUAAAAAAUGUUAAUAACAAAUAUAUAUAUAUAUAUAUAUAUAUAUAUAUAUAUAUAUAUAUAUAUAUAUAUAUAUAUAUAUAUAUAUAUAUAUAACAAAUGUUUAUAUAUAUAAACAUUUACACUUUUUCAAUGCAUGUCUAUAUUUGUAUUUUUAUGUGUAUAAAAACAAUAUAGGGCGUUUAAACAACAAGAGAAAAGGUCCGCAAUAUCACAAAUUUAAAGUCAAAUAUCCUGAAUAUCACAUUCUGAAAAAAUGAUCCCAAAUAUCGUAUCAAAAUUUUAUCUUAUAUAACGUUUUCAAUUAUUAUACUACACGGGAGUUCGUGUAGCAUUCUCGGGAAAUGAAUUGUGAUGUGUUGAGGCACUACAUGAUGUUUUUUAUAUUUUCCAAUAAAACUGAAUUCUGAAAUAUUAGAAAGGUUAAAGACGUUAGGACUAGACUUACUGAGUAGAUACCAAAACGUGACAUGAUGUAAUGUUGUGAAGUAAUAUUUCGGGUCAUUUUUCCGGAACAUGAUAUUUUGGGAAGUAUUCCUUAAAAUUGUGACAUAUGAGCCAACACCUAAACAAAAAAGUCACGGAGCCACUUACUUGCACAAUGUACACAUGCAAAUGUACACAUGCAAAUAUAUAUAGUCAUUUACUAUUAAAACUUGCCAUCAGAGCUGUUUAAAUCACAUUGAGAUUGACGGGAAAAUUCUUCAUCUGAAUUAAUCCCUUCAUCUGAUUAAACCUCUACCUUUAUUGGAAAAGAUUGUUCCUCGAUCAAAAUAAGUAAAGAAAUCAAUCAUAAAAUAAAGUAUAACAAUAAAUAUUAUAAAAUUAAAACAAAUAAAACAAAGUUGGAUAAACAAUAAAAAUCUAAAAAAUCAAGCCAUGCAAAUUUAGAUCUUUCGAGUUCGGGGGUGUUUGUUGGAAUAUCUUUUCACUUGUUAAUAAAUCUUCUCGUAAACUCAAUGCGAUAUUUAUAUCGAUAUUAUAAUUAGUACCCAUGAUUUUUCUACAUCUCUGAUGUUCUGGGUGUCUUUGUAAACUAGAAAUACAUGUAUAUAUAAUCCUGUAUGCAGGGUAGAGAUGUACAAAAGUUCUGUUCGGGCCAGAUCUAAACCGGGCAAAAAAAAAACUCGGAUUUUUUCCAUAACAGACCGGGCCGGGGUUUUUAAAAAAUCGGGUUGGGGCGGGCUUUUUCGAAAAUACUAGGCCUGGUUUACUUAUAAAAAACUGGAUUUUUCAAAAAUUCGGAUAAAAUCUAGAUUUUUUGAAAAUACUAGGCCUGUUUUAGGCCCUCGGACUGGGUCGGGCAAGAUCAGAUUUUUUCCCGGAUCGGGUUUUCAGAUUUUUUUUCAGAUCGGAUUUCAGAUUUCACAUAUUUUGACAUCUCUAAUGCAUGGAAGCAAUGGAGGGAGAUUAUUGAGGAGAGAUUGAAAAAUCUAAAGGGAAACUAAAUUUACAAGGACAUUGAAAAUUUUAGAAUAAAAUGAAUACAGUGGAAAACUCAAAAUGAAGAUGUGAGGUUCUAUUUUUAAAAUGUGACGUGAAGUUACGCUAACCACGAUAAUUAUAUACGGGGUGGUAUUCAUUUUAUACUGAUAAUCAAGAGAGAGAAUGUGGUUAGCGUAAAAAAAGAAACGGUGUUUGUAUGAUGGGCUCAUGAGCACAUAAUAAACGUACUUUUUAUGAGUUUGGUGUUUUUUAUUGGUAAUUUAAUAUUCAAAAUAGAUGGACCCCUAUAUUUAUAUCAAUUCAACCAAUAAAAAUCUAUUAAAUUCUUUAUAUUUAGUGUUUAUUGUGUUUUGUGUGCCGACACACAUUCAGAAAGAGCGAAAAAAAAAAAAGAGUAAAGAUAAUAAUACUCCCCCGUCUCAAUUUAUAGGUUUUUUUUGGAAAAAAAUUUGUCCCAAAAUAUUUGUCCUUCUCUUUUUUCAAUACAAAUUUAUCUACAUAUUAAUUGUGAUUUUUUUGAAACUCAACAUUAUUCUCAUUUCUCAAUGCACUUAUAUUUAUUGUGAUUUUUUUGAAACUCAACUAUAUUCUCACUGUCAAUGCAUUAAUGAUAUAUAAGAAUAUAAGAUAAGAUUCUAUCUAAUCAACUUUUUUCUUAAUAUACGUGUUUAUUUCAAAAUGGACCUAUAAAUUGAGACGGAGGGAGUAUAAUAAUAACACUCUUUAAUUCCGAUGAAAAAUCUUAAACGUCAUAUAAAAAGCCUAGAGAAUAAUUUAACUAAAAAUAAAUCUACUUAUAUAUAUAGUAGCCCAACACGUUCGUGUCAAGCCUCCCUCCUGAGCAAAUAAAUUACCUAGCUCCGAACCUGAGCCUAACUCCGAACCUAACCCCUCCUCAUACAUAUAAAAAAAAUGUUAUUAUUGGGACUCGAACCCAAGCCCUCUUGAUUACAACUACACCACUGAAACCACUUGAGCUACACAUGCAAUUAAUUUUUUUAUUCAAAAGCAUUAAACUCAUACAUUAAAACUGUUGUAUUUAUAUUUUUUUCCAAUAUCUUAUCUAUUUGAGAUAAGUUAUUAGUUUAGGUAAACCUCAUAUGUUUUUCACAUGAUAGAUUAAUAUCCAUAAAUUAAUUACUUACGUAAUAAAUUUAAAUUUGAAAACGAAUUUGAACAAUUGGGCUCGAGCCAUGUUUCAGACUUCAAAAAAUGGAUAUAAUUCAUAUUUGAAUAAAAUUGGACGAAUUCAAAUCUAACUUAAUACUUUAAACGAGUACCGAUACAAUAUUAGAGAAAUUUAAGCCAUGAAUGUGAGAAAUAAGCACAAAAACUAAGAUUUCGGUGAGCAUCUUUGAAAGGAAAAAUUGAUGGACUUUCAACAUGGACUAUGUCAUAUUUUUUUUUUUAAUUACAAAAGGUGACUUAUAAAGAGAUUACAAUAUUUUUAAGAAAAUGAAAUAAAAUAACUAAAAGAAUAUUUUUGUUUAAAAUAUUUUUUAUUUUAAACUCAUGAAUUCAGAAUUCAACGUGUAACCAAAUCUUUUCAAAAAAAAAUUUAUAGAUAUAAGAAUAGUGACAAAGACAUCAAAUUUGGUGUUAUUGAGUUAUAAAUUUUAUUCGCUUAAAAUAAAAUAACACGGAGAAAUAAGUUAUAUAUAUUAAAGUAUUAAAACUAUAAUUUUCAUAUGCCAUACAUCAAUGUAUAACAUACGAGUUAAAUAAAAUGAUUCAAACUAUAAUUAAAUUAAUUAUUCAUUUACAAAUUAAACUAAUAAAAUAUAAUUAAUUCUGGAAUGGAUAAUCCGACGCGAUAAGAUGAAAACUAAUAUCUGAUUAGACGGGAAUAGAACAAGAAUAGUUUUCCAUAAUCCAGAAUAUCGAACACCUGAUUUGAUCUUUAACGAUUGAACAUGAUAUGAUACAUUGCUCACCCCUAAGAAAUAAGAGUAUCAAAAUAUUUAAAAAUGUGAGUUUGCACAAAGCUAAAAAAGUAACUAUACGACUAAUUAAACUAAAUAUUUCUUAUUUUUAUGAACUCCAUGGUGCCUAACUAACAUCUACUCUAUUUUUGCUAUUUGAGAUCUGGUUUAUAAAGAUUACAUGAAAAAUAUUAAAAGUCUUAGUCAACAAGCUCAGAAAACUAAUGAUAAAAAAUUAAUAUUUUAUAACAACACAAUAUUAUAACACGCGGUAUCAAAGUAAUAAUCAUCUAAUAUUUUAAAUUAACAAAAAAAAAAUAUAAGGCAUUGAAGUACUAUAUGAUUGGAAAAUUAAAAGGGUAAGCCACAUCAAACGUGUCAGAAUUUUUCGGGUACAAUUAUAAGGUUAGUAGUUCAAUUAAUGCUUUUAUAAUAAAGUAAGGUAGGUCUUUUACAUAUGUUUCAAUUAUUAUUUAUACAAAGUGUGUGCAACAUAUAAUAAAAAAGAAUGUGUUGAUGGUCUGUCCAUCAUCUAUCACUUAACUAUUACAUAAACGUAUGCUCAAAAAAAGAGAAAUAAAUAUAAUAUAACGCGGACCACACAUAUUCAUCUAAUCAUGAUUGAGGAUAUCGUAAUUCACAUAUCAAGAACAAGUUUUCAUAUUUGAUGGAAUAAUUUAAUAAUUUUCAGUAAUAAAUUACAGACCUUUUUAAUGAGGUAUAUUAUAUUUAAAUUUUAAAAGUUUCAGUAUUAAUUUCGAAUAUAAUUUUGAACAUGUAGAUAAUAUGAUAAUGGCCUCUAUAUCCUAACGCAAACGUAUGCUCAAAAAAAGAGAAAUAAAUAUAAUAUAACGCGGACCACACAUAUUCAUCUAAUCAUGAUUGAGGAUAUCGUAAUUCACAUAUCAAGAACAAGUUUUCAUAUUUGAUGGAAUAAUUUAAUAAUUUUCAGUAAUAAAUUACAGACCUUUUUAAUGAGGUAUAUUAUAUUUAAAUUUUAAAAGUUUCAGUAUUAAUUUCGAAUAUAAUUUUGAACAUGUAGAUAAUAUGAUAAUGGCCUCUAUAUCCUAACGAAUUUGAAUAUAGAAAAAUCAGUUCAAAUGUUGUUUUUGAUCCAUAAUUUUUUUUUAAAUACAGUACAUAUUAUUACUAUCAACGCUAUUAGAUUGCAAAUGUUACAUUUCAUAUUUACAUAUUCUGUUAAAAAAUAAGACGUAAUAGUUAUGCUCGAAAUAAUAUGAUGACACACGAAUAUUAUUUAAAACACAAAAAAAAACUAGAGUCCCGUGCCUCGCACGGGCUUUUAUGCUAGUAAAGAUUUGAGAAGGAAAAGUCAAAGUUCGGGUUUGACCCGGCAAAUACCCAAACCUUGUCCGAGAAAUAUUAGUUAUAUUUAUCCAACGCGUUAACAGCUGACCGCCUAAAAGCAUUCCGCGUGAUUUGUGCGUUGCCAUCAAGCAACUCUUGCCGACCUUAAUUGCCUAUAUAUACCACACGCAACCCGCACUUUCCUUUAUCUUCGCAAUUUAGAUUGCUCUCUCCCUCCUCACCAAUCUCUCUCUCUCUCCAAUUCAGAUUGCUCUCUUCUCUCCUCACAAAUCUCUCUAUCCUGUUUAGAAAUUGAUAAGGAUGACGAUACAUGGCAGGUACGUUAAUUAUCGAAUCUCUCUUCCUCGCUUCCCUCUCUCGAUCUCCGCAAGGAGGUUAAUUAUAUAAUCGUUUCCGAUUAAUAUUUUUGAUGGAUCCCGGCGAAGAUCUAGAAAUUCUAAUUAGAUGUUGUAUCAUGUUAAUGAUUACUAAAUUCAAUAUGAUGAUGAUGAGAGCACUUGUUCUGCGAGAACUAGAUGUAAUUCAUGCCUCCUCAAAGAUCAUUAUGGUAAAACCUAUUUUAAGCCUUCUUAAUUGUGCCUGAUGUCAAGUUUCUGCUAGUUUUGGGUUGAUGCUUUUCUAUCGGUAUUGUUUUGGUCUUGUUGUCAAUGAAGAUUCCAGAUCUCUCUGAGUUAUUUUGUUGAUGAGGCACUACUGAUGAGGACUUGUGCGGUAAUGUUUUGAUGAUUUAGAUCACUGUCUGUUUUAGAUCAUUACCUGUGUAUCUGGUAUUGGUUUUGUUGAUGAAGAUUCUAGGUUUCUAUCUAAUGAUCUUGUCCGGAAAGUGACUUACAUAUGAAGAGGCGGAAGUGACUUAUGCGGUAACAUCAUAACCUGUGACCUGUGUAUCUGCUAGUUUUUGGUUGAUGCUUUACUAUGGGUAUUGGUUUUGUUGAUGAAGAUUCAGGUGUUUCUUCCAUGUUAAAAUUACGAGCUUGUGUAUCUGCUAGUUUUUGGUUGAUGCUUCACUCUGGGUAUUUUUCUUCUUGAUGGAGAUUCUAGGUUUCUCUUCCAUGUUAAAAUUAUGAGAAGUGAAUAAUGAGGAGGAUUUGAGCGUAACUGCUCAUUUUGUUUUGAGUAGUUAUUUGUUGAUAUUGUUGUAGCAAUGGUGUGUUGUGUGUUGGCUGGUUUAUUCACGAAAGUUUUAGAACAGAUCAUUCUAAGAGAAAGAGAUGAGACAAGUGGAUGAGCACAGUGGUACCAUGCCUAUUCUCAAUGCAAUAUUAUAAAUUAAAGCUGGUUAGACUUUGUAGGUCGAGUAGUGAUGGACGUUUAUGGGGGUUAUGUCGGGCUAUUAACAUUUAUUCUUCUGUGUUGUUCAAUGUUCCAGUUCUGUGAAGGUUUUGGGAAGUGAUAAGCUAUAAAGGAUUUCGAUAGUUAGGUAUGUACAUGCGAUGGGCAGACUAUUGAGGACUGUCUUUGGUUUGAUCUCAUUCUUCAUUGUUUGGAGGAAAUGUAUAAACAUUGACUAGAAGCUGUAUUAUUUUACAUGUGUAGCAUUGUUGUACAUGAUAAUGUGUGUUUUAUGCAAGAUGUUCUACAUUAUUGAAGUGUUAAUAAAUUUGAAGACAAAAGUUGUGACUCUUUCAACAUGUGAUCCGAUUCUUAACUAUCGUUGUUGUUUGAACCUUUCUUACGAUAUUGUUUAUCUGACGCCCCUUCUAUUGAUAGAGUAAUGUUUUGUGUCUCUUAUACCUUGUUUGUUGUACAGAAAUAUAACUUUGUUUCAGAGUUAUGGACCACACGAGAUUCAACAAAAGAUAACUGUUUCAUCACCCAGCUAUUUUUCUCUUAUAUUCUUGCAGUGCCCCUAUACUUACUAUUUUUUCCCCCCUUCCGUAUACAGUUCAUUUAUGUUUACAUGGCCUGUCAUUUCUCUAACGAAGAUUUGAAUAUGCUUUUGUCGCUAAUGAUUUCAGAAUUACCGGAGCUUGAAACCAUUGAGGCUGCUAAAGUUCAACUAACUUUAUGGUGAUUUCAAUGGUGAUGCUUAACUGAAGUNCCACCCCACGAAAUUGUUUUGAAGUUGAAGACAAAAGUUGUGACUCUUUCAACAUGUGAUCUUAAUCUAAACUAUUGUUGUCGUUUGAACCUUUCUCACGAUAUUGUUUUAAUCUAAUGCCCCUUCUAUUGCUAGAGUAAUGUUUUGUGUCUGUUAUACCUUGUUACAGAAAUCUAACCUUGUUUCAGAGUUAUUAACCACAGCCGUGAGAUUCAACAAAAGAUAACUGUUUCAUCACCCAGCUAUUUUUCUCUUAUAUUCUUGCAGUGCCCCUAUACUUACUAUUCUUACAGUUUAUUGAUUUACAUGGCCUGUCAAUUCUGUAACGAAAAUUUGAAUAUGCUUUGUCGCUCAUGAUUUCAGAAUUUACCGGAGCUUGAAACCAUCGAGGCUGCUAAAGUUCAACUAAUUUUAUGGUGAUUCUUAACUAAAUUCAUGAUUAAGCUGAUUGCUGAUUUCUUUAAUUUCAAAGACUAAAUUUGCUACUAUCAAGCUCUCUCCCACUCACACCACCCCCCCCUCUUCCUCUUCCCCCCUCUCUUCCUCUCCCCCUUCCCUCUCUUCCUCUCUCCCCCUCUCUCUAUAUGUUGAAAUUUUGGAGAGGUCGAUACAUCAUAUUGGUGCUAUUAGGGAAUAAUGUCCCAUUUUGUUUAUUGUUGUCUCCUUAGAGAUGUUGUGGUAGAACCACUUUAAACCUUUUUUGUUCCUGAUAUUAAGUUUCUGCUAGUUUCUAGUUAAUGCUCUUCUGUUUGUGUUUUUGGUGCAAGUGUCUAUGAAGAUUACAAGUUUCUCAAGUAAUAUAGGUGUCCACUGAAGUUGAAUUUUAAAUAGAGAAAUUGUGCGGUAAAAUGUCUGUUGAUUUCGAUCAAUCACGUCUUAGAUUAUUAUCUGUGCAUCUGCUUGUUAUCUGUUUGAUGCUUUUCUACUGGUAUGGGUAGUGUUGAUGAAGAAAUCAAGAAUAUAGGUCUCCAUAAUUUCGUAAGGAAAGUGAUUGAUGAGGAGAAUUUGUGCGGUAGUUUCUGUUUCAAUUUUGAUGCAGCGGUUUGCAAAGAGUCGAGAAUCAACUAAGUGAUCUGUUUCAAUUUUGAUGCAGCAGUUUGCAAAGAAUCGAGAAUCAACUAAGUGAUCGACUAAAUAACCUUAAUAUGAAAAAAUUUGGGUUUUUGAAUCCACAAGAACAUAAACAAUUUUUUGGAUAGAUUGAUACCCCUCCUGUACAGAGAAAGUAUUCUAAUAGACAGACACAACAGCAGGCUUAUUAAACUCGUAAUUGACAUGAUAUUUCUACUGAUUUCAUACAUAAUAAUAAGUGAAUAAGAAGCAUUCACUUAACUGCGUAGAAAGACGACUUCUAACUGCUUACUGGCAGUUAUGUUUCUUCCUAUCUUCCUCUUUGAAGUAUUCUAUACUAGUUGUGCUGCAUAACAUUUUGAGUAGAUAUAUGUUGCUAAUGUUGUUUGCAGUAAGUUUAUUAUGUAGUUUGCUGGUUUUGAUCAUGAACAUUUUAGAUGAGACCACCACAAGAGAUAAUAGACAGGAGGAAAAGUAUAGUGUAACAUGCCUGUUCUCUCUAUGUCCAAGAAGUGAUCACUGAGGUUGAAUUUCCAAUAAAGGAGUUGUGCGGUAAUAUGUCUGCGGAUUUCGGUCAAUCACAUCUUACAUCAUUAUUUGUGUAUCUGCUAGUUUUCAGUUUGAUGAUUUUGUACUGGUAUUGGUAGUGUUGAUGAAGAUUUUGGGUCUCCAUAUGUUGUUCAGAAAGUGGCUGGUGUGUAGAAUUCGUGCGGUAAUUUCUGGUUCCAUUUUGAGUAGAUAAUCGUUUCUAUUGUUGUUUGCAGUAAGUUUAUUGUUUAGUUUACUGAUUUUGUUCAUGAACAUUUUCGAUGAGAAUAGACAGGAGGAAGAGUAUAUUAGUGGUAAGAUGCCUGUUUGCGUAAUAUUCAAGAUUGAAGCAGGUUAGAAUUUGUAGGUGAGCUGUGGACGUCUUAAUGUGAGUUAUUCUGGGUUAUUAAUCUUUGUUUUAUCAAAUUUUCUCCGCUACGGUAUUAUUCUUUAUCGCAGUUGGGUCGGUUUUCAAAUUGGUUCGGAAAUUUAUCAGGUGUAAAGGAUUUUGAUAGUUUGGUAUGUAUGUGACUAUGUGCAAUGGGCAGAAAUAUUGGUGAUGGUAUCUGGUUUAAUAUUUUUUUUAAUUGUUUGGUGGAGAGGCAUAAACUUUGAUUAUUAGUUCUAUUGCUUAACCUGGGUGGCAUUGUUGAAUCGAGAUGAAUGUGUUUUGGCAUGUACGCAAGACGUUCGACACCAUCGAUACAGUUGGAGCGAUGUUAGAGUCAUGAUUAUUUCGACUGGUGAAAUAGGCGGCGGUAGAAUACCCUCAAUCUUAACUAAUCAUUGCUUUUUGGAAAAUUUUAUUUGAAUUGGUUUUUUCAUCAUAUGCCACUUUUUUGUUGUAGCUUUGUUUUGUGUCUAUGAUACUAUGUUUGCUCUACAGGAGUUUAACUAUGUUUCAGCCUUAUUGACCACAGCAGCUAGAUUCACCCAAUCUCACUCUCUGUCAUUUCAGAUUGCUCCCCCUCUCUCCACACAAAUCUCUUUCUCCUAUUUAGAUAUUGACAAGGACGAUGAUACAGGGCAGGUAAGUUAAUCAUCGAUUCUCUCUCCAUCGCUUCCUUCUCUCGAUCUCUGCAAGUGAUUACAUAAUUCAACAUGAUGAUGGUGAUGUUGAGAGCACUUGUUUUGGGGAGAACUAAAUUUAAUUCAUAAUUCCUCAAAGAUUGUUAUGGUAAAACUUAUUUAAGCCUUCUUAAUCGUGCCUGGUGUUAGGUUUUGGGUUGAUGCUUUUUUAUUGGUAUUGGCGUGGUUUUAUUGUCAAUGAAGAUUCCAGAUUUCUUGGCUUGUUUUGUUGACAAGGGACUAAUAAGGACUUGUGUGGUAACAUUUUUGAUGAUAAACCCAGUCUGUAAUUUAUCAACCACUAUCUGUUUUAGAUCAUUACCUGUGUAUCUGGUAUGGGUUUUGUUGAUGAAGAUUCUAGGUUUCUCUCUAGUGAACUUUACCGGAAAUUGACUGACUAAUGAAGGGGCGAAAAUUGACUAAUGUGGAGGACUUAUGCGGUAACAUCAUAACCUGUGUGUAUCUGCUAGUUUUCGGUUAAUGCUUUACUAUGGGUAUUGGUUUUGUUGAUGAAGAUUCUAGGUUUCUCUACCAUGUUAUUAAGAGAAGUGAAUAAUGUGGAUGAUUUUUGCGGUAAAUUCUGUUUUCAGUUUGAGUAAAUAUUUGUUGAUACUGUUUUAGCAAUGGUGCAUCGUGUGUUUGCUGUUUUUAUUUACGCAGAUUUAAGAACAGAUCAUUUUAAGGGAAAGAAAUGAGACAAGUGGAUGAGCACAGGGGUAACAUGCCUAUGCUCUAUGCAAUAUUUGAAAUUAAAGCUGGUUAGACUUUGUAGGUCGAGUAUGGAUGGACUUUUAUGGGGAGUUAUGUCGGGUUAUUAACGCUUAUCCUUCAAAUUUUAAUAUCCUUUUGUCACUAAUGAUUUCAGAAUUUGAAUAUGUCUCCAAUGAUUUCAGAAUUUACUCGAGCUUGAAACCACUGAGGCUGCUGAAGUUUACCUAAUUUUAUGGAUAUGCUUAAUGGUGAUGCUUAAGAAAUUCCAUGAUUAUGCUGAUUUGUUUAAAUGAUGGACUAAACUUUCUAAUAUCAAGCUCUCUCUAUCUCGCUCCCUCCCUCCCUCUCUCCCUCUCUCUCGCUCCCUCCCUCCCUCUCUCUCCGUCUCCCUCUCCCUCUCCUUCUGUCCCUCUCCCUCUCUCCAUGCCCCCCUCCCCCCAUAAGUUGAAAUUUUGAGAGUCCGUUACAUCAAAUUUGUUUUAUCGUGGAAUUAUGUCUUAUUUUAUGUAUUGUUGACUCCUCGGAUUGUUGUGGUAGACCCACUUCUAACCUUCUUUGCGUCCCUGAUAUUAAGUUUUUGCUAGUUUUUGGUUAAUGCUGUUCUGUUUGUGUUUUUGGUUCAAGUGUCCAUGAACAUUAUAGGUUUCUCGAGAAAUUUUGUCCAAGUGACCACUGAAGUUGAAUUUUCAACAGAGGAAUUGUGCGGUAACAUGUCUGGAUUUCGGUCAAUCUCGUCUUACAUCAUUAUUUGUGUAUCUGCAAGUUUUUUGUUUGAUGCUUUUGUGCUGGUAUUGGUAGUGUUGAUGAAGAUUUUAGGUCUCAUAAUUUGUUCAGAAAGUGGCCGAUGUGUAGAAUUCGUUCGGUAAUUUCAGGUUCCAUUUUGAGUAGAUAAUCGUUUCUAUUGUUGUUUGCAGUAGGUUUAUUGUUUAGUUUGCUUAUUUUGAUGUUGAACAUUUUAGAUGAGACCAUUAAAAAAGAGAAUAGACAGGAGGAAGAGAUAUUAGUAGUAACAUGCUUGCUUUUUCUGCCUAAUAUUCAAGAUUGAUGCAGGUUAGAAUUUUUAGGUGAGGUAUAGAUGCUUUAAAGUGAGUUAUUCUGGGUUUUUAACUUUUGGUGUGUCAGAUUUUCUCCUCUUCUGUAUUAUCAUUUGUUGCCGUUGUGUGAAAGGCUUUCGAAUUGGUUCGGAAAUUUCUGAGGUGUAAAGGAUUUUGAUGGUUUGGUAUGUAUGUGCGAUGGGCAGAAUAUUGGUGAUGCAAUCUGGUUUAAUAUUUUUAUUAAUUGUUUGGUGGACAUGCAUAAAAUUUCAUUAGUGGUUCAAUUGCUUAACCUGGGUGGCAUUAUUGAAUCUGAUAGAUGAAUGUGUUUUGGUCUAUAUGCAAGAUGUUCGACACCAUCGAUACUGUUGGACCGAUGUUAGAGUUGAAGACGAAGUCAUGACUAUUUCAACUGGUGAAAUAGGCGGUUGUAGAAUAUCCUUAAUCUUUAUUAAUCAUUGCUUUUUGGAAACUUUUAUUUGAUUUGGUUUUUUCCUCAUAUGCCACUUUUUUGUUGUAGCUUUGUUUUGUGUUUAUGAUAUUAUGUUUGCUCUACAGGAGUUUAACUAUGUUUCAGCCUUAUUGACCACAGCAGCUAGAUUCACCCAAUCUCACUCUCUCUCAUUUCAGAGUGCUCCCCCUCUCUCCUCACAGAUCUCUUUCUCCUAUUUAGAAAUUGACAAGGACGAUGAUAAAGGGCAGGUAUUUUUAAUCAUCGAUUCUCUCUCCGUCGCUUCCUUCUCUCGAUCUCUGCAAGUGAUUACAUAAUUCAACACAUCAUGAUGUUGAGAGCACUUGUUUUGGGGAGAAAUUCCUCAAAGAUUUUUAUGGUAAAACUUAUUUAAGCCUUCUUAAUCGUGCCUGGUGUUAGGUUUUGGGUUGAUGCUUUUUUAUUGGUAUUGGUGAGGUUUUAUUGUCAAUGAAGAUUCCAGUUCUCUUGGCUUGUUUUGUUUACGAGGGACUAAUAAGGAGGUGGACUUGUGUGGUAACAUUUUUGAUGACUAAGAUCCCUGUCUCUUUUUGAUCGAUCACUAUCUGUUUUAGAUCAUUACCUGUGUAUCUGGUAUCGGUUUUGUUGAUGAAGAUUCUAGGUUUCUCUCUGGUGAACUUUACCGGAAAUUGACUGACUAAUGAAGGGGCGAAAAUUGACUAAUGUGGAGGACUUAUGCGGUAACAUCAUAACCUGUGUGUAUCUGCUAGUUUUCGGUUAAUGCUUUACUAUGGGUAUUGUUUUUGUUGAUGAAGAUUCUAGGUUUCUCUACCAUGUUAUUAAGAGAAGUGAAUAAUGAGGAGGAUUUUUGCGGUAAAUUCUGUUUUCAGUUUGAGUAAAUAUUUGCUGAUACUGUUUUAGCAAUGGUGCAUCGUGUCUUCGCUGUUUUUAUUCACGCAGAUUUCAGAACAGAUCAUUUUAAGAGAAAGAAAUGAGACAAGUGGAUGAGCACAGUGGUAACAUGCCUAUUCUCUAUGCAAUAUUUGAAAUUAAAGCUGGUUAGACUUUGUAGGUCGAGUAUGGAUGGACUUUUAUGGGCAGUUAUGUCGGGUUAUUAACGCUUAUCCUUCAAAUUUUAAUAUCCUUUUGUCGCUAAUGAUUUCAGAAUUUGAAUAUGUCUCGGAUGAUUUCAGAAUUUACCCGAGCUUGAAACCACUGAGGCUGCUGAAGUUUAGCUAAUUUUAUGGAUAUGCUUAAUGGUGAUGCUUAACAUAUUCCAUGAUUAUGCUGAUUUGUUUAAAUGAUGGACUAAACUUUCUAAUAUCAAGCUUUCUCUCCCCCCCUCCACCCUCUCUCUCUGUCUCCCUCUCCCUCUCUCCAUGCCCCCCCUCCCCCCAUAAGUUGAAAUUUUAAGAGUCCGUAACAUCAUAUUUGUUUUAUCGGGGAAUCAUGUCUUAUUUUUUGAAUUGUCGACUCCUCUGGGAUUGUUGUGGUAGACCCACUUCUUGUCGUAGACCCACUUCAAACCUUCUUUUUGUCCCUGAUAUUAAGUUUUUGCUAGUUUUUGGUUAAUGCUGUUCUGUUUGUGUUUUUGGUUCAAGUUUCCAUGAACAUUAUAGGUUUUUUGAGGAAUUUUUUCCAAGUGACCACUGAAGUUGAAUUUUCAACAGAGGAAUUGUGCGGUAAAUGUCUGUGGAUUUCGGUCAAUCUCGUCUUACAUCAUUAUCUGUGUAUCUGCAAGUUUUCUGUUUGAUGCUUUUGUGCUGGUAUUGGUAGUGUUGAUGAAGAUUUUAGGUCUGCAUAAUUUGUUCAGAAAGUGGCCGAUGUGUAGAAUUCGUUCGGUAAUUUCAGGUUCUAUUUUGAGUAGAUAAUCGUUUCUAUUGUUGUUUGCAGUAGGUUUAUUGUUUAGUAUGCUUAUUUUGAUGUUGAACAUUAUAGAUGAGGCCGUUAAAAAAGAGAAUAGACAGGAGGAAGAGAUAUUAGUAGUGACAUGCUUGCUUUCUCUGCCUAAUAUUCAAGAUUGAUGCAGGUUAGAAAUUUUAGGUGAGGUAUAGAUGCUUUAAAGUGAGUUAUUCUGGGUUUUUAACGUUUGGUGUUUCAGAUUUUCUCCUCUCCUGUAUUAUCAUUUGUUGCUGUUGUGUGAAAGGCUUUCGAAUUGGUUCGGAAAUUUAUGAGGUGUAAAGGAUUUUGAUGGUUUGGUAUGUAUGUGCGAUGGGCAGAAUAUUGGUGAUGCAAUCUGGUUUAAUAUUUUUAUUAAUUGUUUGGUGGACAUGCAUAAACUUUCAUUAGUAGUUCAAUUGCUUAACCUGGGUGGCAUUGUUGAAUCUGAUAGAUGAAUGUGUUUUGGUGUAUAUGCAAGAUGUUCGACACCAUCGAUACCGUUGGACCGAUGUUAGAGUUGAAGACGAAGUCAUGACUAUUUCAACUGGUGAAAUAGGCGGUUGUAGAAUAACCUUAAUCUUAAUUAAUCAUUGCUUUUUGGAAACUUUUAUUUGAUUUGGUUUUUUCAUCAUAUGCCACUCUUUUGUUGUAGCUUUGUUUUGUGUCUAUGAUAUUAUGUUUGCUCUACUGGAGUUUAACAAUGUUUCAGCCUUAUUGACCACAGCAGCUAGAUUCACCCAAUCUUACUCUCUCUCAUUUCAGAUUGCUCCCACUCUCUCCUCACAGAUCUCUUUCUCCUAUUUAGAAAUUGACAAGGACUAUGAUAAAGGGCAGGUAAGUUAAUCAUCGAUUCUCUCUCCGUCGCUUCCUUCUCUCGAUCUCAGCAAGUGAUUACAUAAUUCAACAUGAUGAUGAUGAUGCUGAGAGCACUUGUUUUGGGGAGAACUAAAUUUAAUUCAAGAUUCCUCAAAGAUUGUUAUGGUAAAACUUAUUUAAGCCUUCUUAAUCGUGCCUGGUGUUAGGUUUUGGGUUGAUGCUUUUUUAUUGGUAUUGGUGAGGUUUUAUUGUCAAUGAAGAUUCCAGUUUCCUUGGCUUGUUUUGUUUACGAGGGACUAAUAAGGAGGUGGACUUGUGUGGUAACAUUUUUGAUGACUAAGAUCCCUGUCUGUUUUUCAUCGAUCACUAUCUGUUUUAGAUCAUUACCUGUGUAUCUGGUAUCGGUUUUGUUGAUGAAGAUUCUAGGUUUCUCUCUAGUGUACUUUACCGGANNNNNNNNNNNNNNNNNNNNNNNNNNNNNNNNNNNNNNNNNNNNNNNNNNNNNNNNNNNNNNNNNNNNNNNNNNNNNNNNNNNNNNNNNNNNNNNNNNNNNNNNNNNNNNNNNNNNNNNNNNNNNNNNNNNNNNNNNNNNNNNNNNNNNNNNNNNNNNNNNNNNNNNNNNNNNNNNNNNNNNNNNNNNNNNNNNNNNNNNNNNNNNNNNNNNNNNNNNNNNNNNNNNNNNNNNNNNNNNNNNNNNNNNNNNNNNNNNNNNNNNNNNNNNNNNNNNNNNNNNNNNNNNNNNNNNNNNNNNNNNNNNNNNNNNNNNNNNNNNNNNNNNNNNNNNNNNNNNNNNNNNNNNNNNNNNNNNNNNNNNNNNNNNNNNNNNNNNNNNNNNNNNNNNNNNNNNNNNNNNNNNNNNNNNNNNNNNNNNNNNNNNNNNNNNNNNNNNNNNNNNNNNNNNNNNNNNNNNNNNNNNNNNNNNNNNNNNNNNNNNNNNNNNNNNNNNNNNNNNNNNNNNNNNNNNNNNNNNNNNNNNNNNNNNNNNNNNNNNNNNNNNNNNNNNNNNNNNNNNNNNNNNNNNNNNNNNNNNNNNNNNNNNNNNNNNNNNNNNNNNNNNNNNNNNNNNNNNNNNNNNNNNNNNNNNNNNNNNNNNNNNNNNNNNNNNNNNNNNNNNNNNNNNNNNNNNNCCACCCCCCCCCCCCCCCCCCAACUCUCUCUCUUUCUCGCUCCCUCCCUCCCUAUCUCUCAGUCUCCCUCUCCCUCUCCCUCUCCCUCUCUCCAUGCCUCCCCUCCCCCCAUAAGUUGAAAUUUUGAGAGUCCGUAACAUCAUAUUUGUUUUAUCGGGGAAAUAUGUCUUAUUUUUUGUAGGAUUGUUGUGGUAGACCCACUUCUAACCUUCUUUGCGUCCUUGAUAUUAAGUUUUUGCUAGUUUUUGGUUAAUGCUGUUCUGUUUGUGUUUUUGGUUCAAGUGUCCAUGAACAUUAUAGGUUUCUCGAGAAAUAUUGUCCAAGUGACCACUGAAGUUGAAUUUUCAACAGAGGAAUUGUGCGGUAACAUGUCUGUGGAUUUCGGUCAAUCUCGUCUUACAUCAUUAUUUGUGUAUCUGCAAGUUUUUUGUUUGAUGCUUUUGUGCUGGUAUUGGUAGUGUUGAUGAAGAUUUUAGGUCUGCAUAAUUUGUUCAGAAAGUGGCCGAUGUGUAGAAUUCGUUCGGUAAUUUCAGGUUCUACUUUGAGUAGAUAAUCGUUUCUAUUGUUGUUUGCAGUAGGUUUAUUGUUUAGUAUGCUUAUUUUGAUGUUGAACAUUUUAGAUGAGGCCGUUAAAAAAGAGAAUAGACAGGAGGAAGAGAUAUUAGUGGUGACAUUCUUGCUUUCUUUGCCUAAUAUUCAAGAUUGAUGCAGGUUAGAAAUUUUCGGUGAGGUAUAGAUGCUUUAAAGUGAGUUAUUAUGGGUUUUUAACGUUUGGUGUAUCAGAUUUUCUCCUCUCCUGCAUUAUCAUUUGUUGCUGUUGUGUGAAAGGCUUUCGAAUUGGUUCGGAAAUUUAUGAGGUGUAAAGGAUUUUGAUGGUUUGGUAUGUAUGUGCGAUGGGCAGAAUAUUGGUGAUGCAAUCUGGUUUAAUAUAUUUUUUAAUUGUUUGGUGGACAUGCAUAAACUUUCAUUAGUAGUUCAAUUGCUUAACCUGGGUGGCAUUGUUGAAUCUGAUAGAUGAAUGUGUUUUGGUGUAUAUGCAACAUGUUCGAUACCAUCGAUACCGUUGGACCGAUGUUAGAGUUGAAGACUAAGUCAUGACUAUUUCAACUGGUGAAAUAGGCGGUUGUAGAAUAACCUUAAUGUUAAUUAAUCAUUGCUUUUUGGAAACUUUUAUUUGAUUUGGUUUUUUCAUCAUAUGCCACUUUUUUGUUGUAGCUUUGUUUUGUGUCUAUGAUAUUAUGUUUGCUCUACAGGAGUUUAACCAUGUUUCAGCCUUAUUGACCACAACAGCUAGAUUCACCCAAUCUCACUCUCUCUCAUUUCAGAUUGCUCCCACUCUCUCCUCACAGAUCUCUUUCUCCUAUUUAGAAAUUGACAAGGACUAUGAUAAAGGGCAGGUAAGUUAAUCAUCGAUUCUCUCUCCGUCGCUUCCUUCUCUCGAUCUCUGCAAGUGAUUACAUAAUUCAACAUGAUGAUGAUGAUGCUGAGAGCACUUUUUUUGGGGAGAACUGAAUUUAAUUCAAGAUUCCUCAAAGAUUGUUAUGGUAAAACUUAUUUAAGCCUUCUUAAUCGUGCCUGGUGUUAGGUUCUGGGUUAAUGCUUUUUUAUUGGUAUUGGUGAGGUUUUAUUGUCAAUGAAGAUUCCAGUUCUCUUGGCUUGUUUUGUUUACGAGGGACUAAUAAGGAGGUGGACUUGUGUGGUAACAUUUUUGAUGACUAAGAUCCCUGUCUGUUUUUGAUCGAUCACUAUCUGUUUUAGAUCAUUACCUGUGUAUCUGGUAUCGGUUUUGUUGAUGAAGAUUCUAGGUUUCUCUCUAGUGAACUUUACCGGAAAUUGACCGACUAAUGAAGGGGCGAAAAUUGACUAAUGUGGAGGACUUAUGCGGUAACAUCAUAACCUGUGUGUAUCUGCUAGUUUUCGGUUAAUGCUUUACUAUGGGUAUUGGUUUUGUUGAUGAAGAUUUUAGGUUUCUCUAAUGUUAUUAAGAGAAGUGAAUAAUGAGGAGGAUUUUUGCGGUAAAUUCUGUUUUCAGUUUGAGUAAAUAUUUGUUAAUACUGUUUUAGCAAUGGUGCAUCGUGUGUUCUGCUGUUUUUAUUGAUGCAGAUUUAAGAACAGAUCAUUUUAAGAGAAAGAAAUGAGACAAGUGGAUGAGCACAGUGGUAACAUGCCUAUUCUCUAUGCAAUAUUUGAAAUUAAAGCUGGUUAGACUUUGUAGGUCGAGUAUGGAUGGACUUUUAUUGGCAGUUAUGUCCGGUUAUUAACGCUUAUCCUUCAACUUUUAAUAUCCUUUUGUCACUAAUGAUUUCAGAAUUUGAAUAUGUCUCUAAUGAUUUCAGAAUUUACCCGAUCUUGCAACCACUGAGGCUGCUGAAGUUUACCUAAUUUUAUGGAUAUGCUUAAUGGUGAUGCUUAACAUAUUCCAUCAUUAUGCUGAUUUGUUUAAAUGAUGGACUANNNNNNNNNNNNNNNNNNNNNNNNNNNNNNNNNNNNNNNNNNNNNNNNNNNNNNNNNNNNNNNNNNNNNNNNNNNNNNNNNNNNNNNNNNNNNNNNNNNNNNNNNNNNNNNNNNNNNNNNNNNNNNNNNNNNNNNNNNNNNNNNNNNNNNNNNNNNNNNNNNNNNNNNNNNNNNNNNNNNNNNNNNNNNNNNNNNNNNNNNNNNNNNNNNNNNNNNNNNNNNNNNNNNNNNNNNNNNNNNNNNNNNNNNNNNNNNNNNNNNNNNNNNNNNNNNNNNNNNNNNNNNNNNNNNNNNNNNNNNNNNNNNNNNNNNNNNNNNNNNNNNNNNNNNNNNNCUCCCUCCCUCCCUCUCUGUCUCCCUGUCCCUCUCCUUCUGUCCCUCUGCCUCUCUCCAUGCCCCCCCUCCCCCCAUAAGUUGAAAUUUUAAGAGUCCGUAACAUCAUAUUUGUUUUAUCGGGGAAUCAUGUCUUAUUUUUUGAAUUGUUGACUCCUCUGGGAUUGUUGUGGUAGACCCACUUCUUGUGGUAGACCCACUUCAAACCUUCUUUUUGUCCCUGGUAUUAAGUUUUUGCUAGUUUUUGGUUAAUGCUGUUCUGUUUGUGUUUUUGGUUCAAGUUUCCAUGAACAUUAUAGGUUUUUUGAGGAAUUUUUUCCAAGUGACCACUGAAGUUGAAUUUUCAACAGAGGAAUUGUGCGGUAAUAUGUCUGUGGAUUUCGGUCAAUCUCGUCUUACAUCAUUAUGUGUGUAUCUACAAAUUUUCUGUUUCAUGCUUUUGUGCUGGUAUUGGUAGUGUUGAUGAAGAUUUUAGGUCUCCAUAAUAUGUUCAGAAAGUGGCCGAUGUGUAGAAUUCGUUCGGUAAUUUCAGGUUCCAUUUUGAGUAGAUAAUCGUUUCUAUUGUUGUUUGCAGUAGGUUUAUUGUUUAGUAUGCUUAUUUUGAUGUUGAACAUUUUAGAUGAGCGCAUUAAAAAAGAGAAUAGACAGGAGGAAGAGAUAUUAGUAGUAACAUGCUUGCUUUUUCUGCCUAAUAUUCAAGAUUGAUGCAGGUUAGAAUUUUUGGGUGAGGUAUAGAUGCUUUAAAGUGAGUUAUUCUGGGUUUUUAACAUUUGGUGUAUCAGAUUUUCUCCUCUCCUGUAUUAUCAAUUGUUGCCGUUGUGUGAAAGGCUUUCGAAUUGGUUCGGAAAUUUGUGAGGUGUAAAGGAUUUUGAUGGUUUGGUAUGUAUGUGCGAUGGGCAGAAUAUUGGUGAUGCAAUCUGGUUUAAUAUUUUUAUUUAAGUUACCUGGACUCGGCUAAAAGUGUCCAACAUGGAUACGUGUCGAAGUGUCGGACUCAGCAAUAAUUUGAAAAUUUUACAUGUUUUUGUCUUAAAAUAAGUGUAGGAGUGUCCAUACCCAUGUCCGAGUGUCGAGUGUCCGACACGGAUACUCGAGACAAAAUGAAGAGUCCGGGUAACAUAGAUUUUUAUUAAUUGUUUGGUGGACAUGCAUAAACUUCAUUAGUAGUUCAAUUGCUUAACCUGGGUGGCAUUGUUGAAUCUGAUAGAUGAAUGUGUUUUGGUGUAUAUGCAAGAUGUUCGACACCAUCGAUACCGGUGGACCGAUGUUAGAGUUGAAGACGAAGUCAUGACCAUUUCAACUGGUGAAAUAGGCGGUUGUAGAAUAACCUUAAUCUUAAUUAAUCAUUGCUUUUUGGAAACUUUUAUUUGAUUUGGUUUUUUCAUCAUAUGCCACUUUUUUGUUGUAGCUUUGUUUUGUGUCUAUGAUAUUAUGUUUGCUCUACAGGAGUUUAACUAUGUUUCAGCCUUAUUGACCACAGCAGCUAGAUUCACCCAAUCUCACUCUCUCUCAUUUCAGAUUGCUUCCCCUCUCUCCUCACAGAUCUCUUUCUCCUAUUUAGAAAUUGACAAGGACUAUGAUAAAGGGCAGGUAAGUUAAUUAUCGAUUCUCUCUCCGUCGCUUCCUUCUCUCGAUCUCUGCAAGUGAUUACAUAAUUCAACAUGAUGAUGAUGAUGGUGAGAGCACUUUUUUUGGGGAGAACUAAAUUUAAUUCAAGAUUCCUCAAAGAUUGUUUUGGUAAAACUUAUUUAAGCUUUCUUAAUCGUGCCUGGUGUUAGGUUUUGGGUUGAUGCUUUUUUAUUGGUAUUGGUGAGGUUUUAUUGUCAAUAAAGAUUCCAGUUCUCUUGGCUUGUUUUGUUUACGAGGGACUAAUAAGGAGGUGGACUUGUGUGGUAACAUUUUUGAUGACUAAGAUCCCUGUCUGUUUUUGAUCGAUCACUAUCUGUUUUAGAUCAUUACCUGUGUAUCUGGUAUCGGUUUUGUUGAUGAAGAUUCUAGGUUUCUCUCUAGUGAACUUUACCGGAUAUUGACGGACUAAUGAAGAGGCGAAAAGUGAG
Molecule: long non-coding RNA, 59700 nt
Filed under: Daucus carota (carrot)
Lineage: Eukaryota; Viridiplantae; Streptophyta; Magnoliopsida; Apiales; Apiaceae
Description: long non-coding RNA (DCAR_LNC003711)
Source: RNAcentral